This 51207-nucleotide long non-coding RNA is filed under the name Triticum aestivum (bread wheat). RNAcentral's name for it is "long non-coding RNA (TAES_LNC024278)". The record is from RNAcentral. Lineage: Eukaryota; Viridiplantae; Streptophyta; Magnoliopsida; Poales; Poaceae.
ACAAUAAUACUUUCUGUACACACCUUUUGAGAGAGACACACAUGAUUCGGAAUUUGUUAGAAUACUCUAUGUGCUUCACUUAUAUCUUUUGAGCUAUAUAGUUUUUGCUCUAGUACUUCACUUAUAUCUUUUAGAGCACGGUGGUGGUUUUAUUUUAUAGAAAUUCUUGAUCUCUCAUGCUUCACUUAUAUUAUUUUGAGAGUCUUAAACAGCAUGGUAAUUUGCUUUAAUUGUGAAAUUAAUCUUCCCUAUUGAGUUCAUUGAAUAUCAUGAGAAGUUUGAUACUUGAUAAGUGUUUUGAGAUAUAAAGGUGGUAAUAUUAGAGUGUGCUAGUUGAGUAAUUGUGAAAUUUAGAAAUACUUUUGUUAAGGUUGGCAAGUCCCGUAGCAUGCACGUAUGGUAAAAGUUGUGUGACAAUUUUGACACAUAAGGUGUUCUUUUAUUGCUUUCCUUAUGAGUGGCGGUCGCGAACGAGCGAUGGUCUUUUCCUACCAAUCUAUCCCUCUAGGGGCAUGCGUUGUAGUACUUUUCUUCGAGGGCUAAUAAAAUUUUUCAAUAAGUAUAUGAGUUCUUUAUGACUAAUGUGAGUCCAUGGAUUAUACGCACUCUCAACCUUCCACAAUUUUCUAGCCUCUACGGUACCGUGCAUCGCCCUUUCUCACCUUGAGAGUUGGUGCAAACUUCGCCGGUGCAUCCAAACCCCGUGAUAUGAUACGCUCUAUCACACAUAAACCUCCUUAUAUCUUCCUCAAAACAGCCACCAUACCUACCUAUCAUGGCAUUUCCAUAGCCAUUCCGAGAUAUAUUCCCAUGCAACUUUCCACCGUUCCAUUUAUUAUGACACGCUCCAUCAUUGUCAUAUUGCUUUGCAUGAUCAUGUAGUUGACAUCGUAUUUGUGGGAAAGCCACCAUUCAUAAUUUUUCAUACAUUGUCACUCUUGAUUCAUUGCAUAUCCCGGUACACCGCCGGAGGCAUUCACAUAGAGUCAUAUUUUGUUCUAAGUAUUGAGUUGUAAUUCUUGAGUUGUAAGUAAUAGAAGUGUGAUGAUCAUCAUUAUUAGAGCAUUGUCCCAUGUGAGGAAAGGAUGAUGGAGACUAUGAUUCCCCCACAAGUCGGGAUGAGAUUCCGGACUAAAUAAAAAAAAGAAAAAAAGAGGCCAAAUAAAAAAAGAGAAGGCCAAAAAAAAUGAGAGAAAAGGAGAGAAGGGACAAUGUUACUAUCCUUUUUCCACACUUGUGCUUCAAAGUAGCACCAUGAUCUUCAUGAUAGAGAGUCUGCUAUGUUAUCACUUUCAUAGACUAGUGGGAAUUUUUCAUUAUAGAACUUGGCUUGUAUAUUCCAAUGAUGGGCUUCCUCAAAAUGCCCUAGGUCUUCGUGAGCAAGCGAGUUGGAUGCACACCCACUUAGUUUCUUUUGUUGAGCUUUCAUAUAUUUAUAGCUCUAGUGCAUCCGUUGCAUGGCAAUCCCUACUCCUCUCAUUGACAUCAAUUGAUGGGCAUCUCCAUAGCCUAUUGAUUAGCCGCGUUGAUGUGAGACUUUCUACCUUUUUGUCUUCUCUCAUAACCCCCAUCAUUAUACUUUAUUCCACCCAUAGUGCUAUAUCCAUGGCGUACGCUCAUGUAUUGCGUAAGGGUUGAAAAGGCUGAAGCACGUUAAAAAGUAUGAACCAAUUGCUCGGCUCGUCAUCGGGGUUAUGCAUGAUGAGAACGUUUGUGUGACGAUAUUGAAACAUGGCCUAACUAUAUGAUUUUGUAGGGAUAAGCUUUCUUUGUCUAUGUUAUUUUGAUAAGACAUAAUUGCUUGGUUAGCAUGUUUGAAGUAUUAUUAUUUUUAUGUCAACAUUAAACUUUUAUCCUGAAUCUUUCAGAUCUAAAUAUUCAUGCCACAAUAAAAAGAAUUACUUUGAAAAUUAUGCUAAGAAGCAUUCCACAUAAAAAAUUCUGUUUUUAUCAUUUACCUACUCGAGGACGAGCAGGAAUUAAGCUUGGGGAUGCUUGAUACGUCUCCAACGUAUCUAUAAUUUUUGAUUGUUCCAUGCUAUUAUAUAUUCUAUUUUGGAUGUUUAAUGGGUUUAUGUAUACACUUUUAUAUUAUUUUUGGGACUAACCAAUUAACCGGAGGCCCACCCCAAAUUGCUGUUUUUUGCCUAUUUCAGUUUUUCGCAGAAAAAGGAUAUCAAUCGGAGUCCAAAUGGAAUGAAACCUUCGGGAGCGUGAUUUUUGGAACAAACGUGAUCCAGAGGACAUGGAGUGUACGUCAAGCAACCAACGAGGAGGCCACGAGGCAGGGGGGCGCGCCUACCCCCCUGGGCGCGCCCUCCACCAUUGUGGCUCCACCGACCUACUUCUUCCUCCUAUAUAUACCUACGUACCCCGAAAACAUCAGAGGAGGAGCCAAACCCUAUUUCCACCGCCGCAACCUUCUGUACCCAUGAGAUCCCAUCUUGGGGCCUUUUCCGGCGCUCCGCCGGAGGGGGCAUUGAUCACGGAGGGCUUCUACAUCAACACCAUAGCCUCUCCGAUGAUGUGUGAGUAGUUUACCUCAGACCUUCAGGUCCAUAGUUAUUAGCUAGAUGGCUUCUUCUCUCUCUUUGGAUCUCAAUACAAAGUUCUCCUCGAUUCUCUUGGAGAUCUAUUCGAUGUAAUGUUCUUUUGCGGUGUGUUUGUCGAGAUCCGAUGAAUUGUGGGUUUAUGAUCAAGAUUAUCUAUGAACAAUAUUUGAAUCUCCUCUGAAUUCUUUUAUGUAUGAUUGGUUAUCUUUGCAAGUCUCUUCGAAUUAUCAGUUUGGUUUGGCCUACUAGAUUGAUCUUUCUUGGAAUGGGAGAAGUGCUUAGCUUUGGGUUCAAUCUUGAGGUGCUCGAUCCCAGUGACGGUAGGGGAAACGACACGUAUUGUAUUGUUGCCAUCGAGGAUAAAAAUAUGGGGUUUAUAUCAUAUUGCUUGAUUUUAUCCUUCUACAUCAUGUCAUCUUGCUUAAAGCGUUACUCUGUUCUUAUGAACUUUAUACUCUAGAUGCAUGCUGGAUAGCGGUCGAUGUGUGGAGUAAUAGUAGUAGAUGCAGGCAGGAAUCGGUCUACUUGUCGCGGACGUGAUGCCUAUAUACAUGAUCAUGCCUAGAUAUUCUCAUAACUAUGCUCAAUUCUAUCAAUUGCUCGACAGUAAUUUGUUCACCCACCGUAAUACUUAUGCUCUUGAGAAGCCACUAGUGAAACCUAUGGCCCCCGGGUCUAUUUUCCAUCAUAUUAAUCUUCCAUCAACAAGCUAUUUCUAUCUUUGUUUAUUUUGCAAUCUUUACUUUUAAUCUUUAUCAUAAAAAUACCGAAAAUAUUAUCUUAUCAUCUCUAUCAGAUCUCACUUUUGCAAGUGGACGUGAAGGGAUUGACAACCCCUUUAUCGCGUUGGUUGCAAGGUUCUUAUUUGUUUGUGUAGGUGCAAGGGACUUGAGCGUGGCCUCCUACUGGAUUGAUACCUUGGUUCUCAAAAACUAAGGGAAACACUUACGCUACUUUGCUGCAUCACCCUUUCCUCUUCAAGGGAAAACCAACGCAGUGCUCAAGAGGUAGCACUUGUGAUAAGGAGCUUUAUUAUGCAGUUCGUCGCUUUUAUUUCUUACAUAUCACAAGUUCGUAUAAAUCUUAUUUUCUUCACACUAAUAGAUCAUAUAUAUUUAAAGAGAAAUUUUUAUUGCUUGCAUCGAUGACAACUUACUUGAAGGAUCUUACUCAAUCCGUAGGUAGGUAUGGUGGACUCUAAUGGCAAAACUGGGUUUAGGGAUGUUUGGAAGCACAAGUAGUAUCUCUACUUGGUGCAAAGAAUUUGGCUAGCAUGAGAGGGAAGGGCAAGCUCAACAUGUUGGAUGAUCCAUGACAAUAUAACUUCUAUUCGGAUAUAAGAAAACAUAACAUAUUAUGUUGUCUUACUUGUCCAACAUCAACCUUUUAGCAUGUCAUAUUUUACUGAGUGCUCACAAUCACAAAAGAUGUCCAAGAUAAUAUAUUUAUGCCUCUCUUUCUUUAUUACUUCCUAUUAAUUUCAACAAUGACCAAAACUAUGUUUGUCAAUUCCCAACAACUUUUAUUCAUUAUACUCUUUAUAUGUGAAGUCAUUACUCACCAUAAGAUCAAUAUAUGAUCUUUUUAUUCUUACUUUUAUUUAAUUCCCUCAAGAUCAUAGCAAGAAAGCAAAGCCCUUAACUCAAAACUACUCUAUAUAUAUAUUAUAUAUAUAUAUAUAUAUAUAUCAAGGACUCGAUUACAUAGAGGGAACAUAAAGCAAAAACUCAACGCUAGAUCAUACGAAAACUUUAUUCUACUAGAUCAAGAUAUAAUCAAAAGGAUCGAACUAAGAAAAACGAUAAAGAUAAAGAUGUGAUGGUGAUACGAUACCGGGGCACUCCCCCAAGCUUGGCAGUUGCCAAGGGGAGUGCCCAUACCCAUGUAUUUAGGUCUCUUUCUUCGGAGGUGAGGAUGAUGGAGUUGUUGCAUUCUUCUUCUCUAGCUUGCGUCUGAGGCUAAAAUUUUCCUCUCUCAGAUCCUCAUUCUCGAGCUCAAUUUUCAUUAUCUUUUUGCAUAAUGCCGCUUUGCUGUCCUGCGAAAAACAUGGUGGGAUAGGUUGGACUUUAGGGAGGCUUGAUUUCUUGAACUCCACAUGCAUAUCGCCAGGUUGGGGUAGUGGAUCGUCCCCUUCAUCGGAGCUUGUCUCCUCCUUCCCCUUUGGAUCAUAGUCUUCUUCUUCCUCCGUGGUCCAACCAUAAUGUUCCACAUCCCCAUAUGCUUUUGGGUUUGUGAUAUAAUCAGCCAUGUAGCUCUCUCCCUCCGAAUCUUGGGACGACAUCUUGCUCCAAAUCUGCUGCAGAAACAACUUAAAAUGAAAAUAGAGGAUUUUGUCAUGGUACUGUGGUCAAAACCUUCGGGAGAUUAUAUAAUGAGUUUUUACCGACCAAAAGAAGUAUCGUGCAAGAAAACGGAGUCCGAAGGGCACACGAGAUGGCCACAAGGACGGGGGGCGCGCCCUCCACCUUUGUGGUGGCCUCGUGUCUCCUUCGGACUACUUUUAAUUUUCCUAAUUUUUUAAAUAUUCCAAAACGGAGAAAAUUUAUCAUUGAAAACGUUUUGGAGUCGAUUUAGUUAUCGUACCACAUACCUAUUCCUCUUCGGAGUUUGAAACGUUUUGGAAAGUGUCCCUUAUGUACUCCUCCGGUGUUACGGUAUUAAUAAUAUUAGUCUCAACAUUUAUGGGCGUACCUGAGAUAUAAUGUUUGAUUCUUUGACCAUUUACCACCUUCGGAUCUGUGCCUUCGGCAUUGUUGAUUUUUAUGGCACCGGAACGAUAGACCUCCUCGAUAAUGUAGGGGCCUUCCCAUUUAGAGAGAAGCUUUCCUGCAAAAAAUCUUAAACGGGAGUUGUAUAGCAAAACAUGAUCGCCUACAUUAAACUCACACUUUUGUAUCCUUUUAUCGUGCCAUCUUUUAACUUUUUCUUUAAACAACUUGGCAUUCUCAUAGGCUUGGGUUCUCCAUUCAUCAAGUGAGCUAAUGUCAAAUAACCUCUUCUCACCAGCAAGUUUGACAUCAUAAUUGAGCUCUUUAAUAGCCCAAUAUGCCUUACAUUCUAGCUCAAGAGGUAAGUGACAUGCUUUCCCAUAAACCAUUUUAUACGAAGACAUACCCAUAGGAUUCUUAUAAGCAGUUCUAUAAGCCCAUAAUGCAUCAUCAAGUUUCUUAGACCAAUUCUUUCUAGAUCUAUUAACAGUCUUUUGCAAAAUUAAUUUGAUCUCCCUGUUGCUCAAUUCUACUUGACCACUAGACUGAGGAUCAUAAGGAGAUGCAAUUAUAUGGUUAACAUCAUACUUAGCAAGCAUUUUACAGAAAGCACCAUGAAUAAAAAGUGAACCACCAUCUAUUAUUAAAUAUCUAGGGACUCCAAACCUCGAAAAAAUAACUUCUUUAAGCAUCUUAAUAGAAGUGUUAUGAUCAGCACUACUAGUUGGAAUAGCUUCAACCCACUUAGUAACGUAAUCAACAGUAACUAAAAUAUGUGUAUACCCAUUAGAGGAAGGAAAAGGUCCCAUAUAAUCAAAACCCCAAACAUCAAAUGGUUCAAUAACAAGUGAAUAGUUCAUAGGCAUUUCCUGACGUCUACUAAUAUUACCAAUUCCCUGGCAUUCAUCACAAGACAAGACAAACUUACGGGCAUCCUUAAAGAGAGUGGGCCAAUAGAAACCGGAUUGCAAUACCUUAUGUGCAGUUUUGUCCCCUGCGUGGUGCCCUCCAUAAGCCUCGGAGUGGCCCUUGCAUAGGAUCUGUUCCUGUUCAUGCUCAGGUACACAACAUCUAAUAACACCAUCUACUCCUUUAUAAAGGUGUGGAUAUAUCUUCUUUUCAUCAAGAUAAGCAUAUUUCAGAGUAUCGGGUAAUUGUUUAAGCUCAAACAUGGGGUCACCCUUGGGUGGAGGAGGAUCCUCAGGGAUUUCAACAGGAAACUUGUGUUUCAAAAUAGGCCCUUGAUUAAAGAAUACUUCAUCUAUUUCCCUUCUUUCAUUCAUAAACAUAUCAUUUUCAUGGUCUAACAAAUAUUGUUCUAAAGGAUCAGCAGGAGGAACGGCAAUAGAAGCAAGACAAAUAAUUUCAUCCUUACUAGGCAAUUCUUUGUCAUGGGGUUGUCUACGAAAUUUAGAGAAAUUAAAAUCAUGAGACAUAUCCCCUAAACGAACAGUAACAAUAUCUUUCUCGCAAUCUAUCUUAGCAUUAACAGUAUUCAAGAAAGGACUACCAAAUAUAAUGGGACCAACAUUAUCUUGUGGGGAACCAAGAACAAGAAAAUCAGCAGGGUAUUUAAUUUUCCCACACAAGACUUCAACAUCUCUAACAAUCCUAAUUGGUGAAAUAGUACCUCUAUUGGCAAGCUCAAUAGUAACAUCAAUAUCUUCUAUCUCAGCAGGUGCAAUAUCAUUCAUAAUUUCCUCAUACAAGGUAUAAGGAAUUGCACUUACACUAGCACCCAUAUCACAUAAGCCAUGAUAACAAUAAUCUCCUAUUUUAACAUAAACAACAGGCAUGCCAACAACAGGUCUAUGUUUAUCUUUCAUAUCGGGUUUAGCAAUUCUAGCAGCUUCAUCACAGAAAUAAAUAAAUCAAUAUUAUCAACCAAGAGAUCUUUAACCAUAGCAAUACUAGGUUCAACUUUAGUUUGCUCAGAGGGUGUAGGUGUUCUAGUAUAACUCUUACGAACCAUAGUUGAAGCUCUAGCAUGAUCCUUUAUUCUAACAGGAAAAGGUGGUUUCUCAAUAUAAGCAGUAGGAACAAUAGGAUCAACAUUAUAAGUAAUAGUUUCUUCUUCAACUUAAAUAGGUUCUACUACUUUAACUUCAAUGGGAGGAUGAUAUUUAAACCACUUGUCCUUAGGGAGAUCAACAUGAGUAGCAAAAGAUUCACAGAAAGAAGCUACUAUCUCAGAGUCAAGUCCAUAUUUAGUGCUAAAAUCACGAAAAGCAUCGGUAUCCAUAAAAGAUUUAACACAAUAAAACUUAAGGUUUAUACCUGACUCUUUACCUUCGUCGAGUUCCCAAUCUUCAGAGUUGCAUUUAAUUCUUUCCAAUAAAUCCCAUUUGAAUUCAAUAUCCUUCUUCAUAUAGGAACCAGUACAGGAAGUAUCGAGCACGGAUCGAUCAUUAUGAGAAAGCCGAGCAUAAAAAUUUUGAAUAAUAAUUUCUCUUGAGAGCUCAUGAUUGGGGCAUGAAUAUAACAUUGACUUAAGCCUCCCCCAAGCUUGAGCGAUACUUUCUCUUUCACGAGGCCAAAAAUUAUAUAUAUAAUUCUGAUCACGAUGAACCAGAUGCAUAGGAUAAAACUUUUGAUGAAAUUCCAAUUUCAAUCGGUUGUAGUUCCAUGAUCCAAUAUCAUCCAAUAUCCUAUACCAUGUCAAUGCUUUUCCCUUCAAAGAUAAAGGGAAGACCUUCUUCUUGACAACAUCCUCGGGCAUACCUGUAAGCUUAAAUAAUCCACAAACUUCAUCCACAUAGAUUAGGUGCAUAUCAGGAUGUAAUGUUCCAUCUCCUGCAUAAGGAUUAGCUAGCAGUUUCUCUAUCAUACCCGAAGGAAUCUCAUAAUAAAUAUUUUCAGUAGGUGCAGUAGGCUGAGGAGCAACUAUUUGUUCUUCUGGUCGAGGUGAAGAUACCCCGAACAAGCCCCUCAAAGGAUUAUUUUCCAUAGUAACAAGUGACAGUAAAUUUCAGCACACUACAUAAAUGUUUCCUUACCAAAGGCGCUUCACUCCCCGGCAACGGCGCCAGAAAAGAGUCUUGAUGAGCCACAAGUAUAGGGGAUCUAUCAUAGUCCUUUUGAUAAGUAAUAGUGUCGAACCUAACGAGGAGCAGAAGGAAAUGAUAGGUGGUUUUCAGCAAGGUAUUCUCUGCAAGCACUGAAAUUAUCGGUAACAGAUAGUUUUGUGAUAAGAUAAAUCAUAACGGGUAACAAGUAAUAAAAGUAAAAAAGGUGCAGCAAAGUGGCCCAAUUCUUUUUGUAGCAAAGGACAAACCUGGACGAACUCUUAUAUAAUGCAAAGCGCUCCCGAUGACACAUGGGAAUUAUUGUCAAGCUAGAUUUCAUCAUGCUCAUAUGAUUCACGUUCGUUACUUUGAUAAUUCGAUAUGUCGGUGGACCGGUGCUUGGGUGCUGCCCUUCCUUGGACAAGACUUCCACUUAUGAUUAACCCCUCUCGCAAGCAUCCGCACCUAUGAAAGAACUAUUAAGGUAAACCUAACCAUAGCAUGAAACAUAUGGAUCCAAAUCAGCCCCUUACGAAGCAACGCAUAAACUAGGGUUUAAGAUUCUGUCACUCUAGCAACCCAUCAUCUACUUAUUACUUCCAAAUGCCUUCCCCUAGGCCCAAAUAAUGGUUAAGUGUCAUGUAGUCGACGUUCACAUAACACCACUAGAGGAAAGACAACAUACAUCUCAUCAAAAUAUCGAACGAAUACCAAAUUCACAUGAUUACUUAUAACAAGACUUCUCCCAUGUCCUCAGGAACAAACGUAACUACUCACAAAACAUAUUUAUGAUCAAGAUAAGAGGAGUAUUAAUUAUCUGGUUGGAUCUUUCAUUCGAGUUUUACCUGUGCAUUAGAUGAGUACUGAUUGUAUGCUUGUUUGUUUGCGAUAGAGUACCCGGAGUGUGCCGCUUGUUACUUCGACUCGUUAGCUUUUGUGGAUCAUCAGCAAGGCAAGUAACACUUUGAUCAUACCCCGUUCAUACCCAGUUUUAUUGCAUUAGAUCUGUUUUCCUCAAACACUUGCAUGAUUAGGAUCUAAUUAAACUGUGGGUAUUGGGAAGUAGUUGAGGUAGUGCCUAUUACCUGUUUUCUUAUCAAACCCUUGGGAGUUACUUCUAUGUUGCUUUUUAUUAUUGCCAUGCUAUGCUCGUAGACAUGGAUUUGGGUUUGAGUGAUAUUCAUGACAGAUGUGAGAUGUUUAUUAAUGGUUCAACUUAAGGUGGCAACUAAAACUCACAUCUGGGUGGAUUGAGGCACCUGGAGAACCCAGUGUUGCCUGUAUGUAUAAGGUCCGCCACCCAGGCUCAAAGGGAUCAUAAGAUUAUUCAUGCUAGAAACUUCCGUGUGCAGCCACAAGCUAUUAUGGGCUCUAGCAUAGCUGAGUAGGUUACAGGAUCUCUUGAAGAGGUGGACUAGCAGAUGUAGGGGAAAGUAGGUGUACCGGUCCAUCCAGAGUAAAGAGUGAUUGUUUCUGAAAGACUGUGUCUCGGUCAUCCGUUUCUCAAACAUCAUGUAGUGCGAGAAUCAAGCGGAGGCGAUCGAGUCUUGUGGGGAAAAGUGCACAAACCUCUGCAGAGUGUACAAACUGAUCAUGAUUAGCCGUGUCCCCGGUUAUGGACAACUUGAGUAUCUAGUACCUGGAUUAUCAUUUGAAUCUCAUCACCAUGUUACUUAUAAUUAAUUUUGUUGGGUUAAUGAUGACACUUAAUUGGGAUUGAGUUGGAGGUACCUUCUCAAUGUUUCACAACCACCAUGAUAGUUAAAUAAAAUUUAUUCCUUUGUAGUAGGAUAAAAUUGGUUUUCGCAAAACUGUAACCAUAGAGCUUUCCACCAGCCAUAAAUGCAUAUAGUAUAGCAUUAUUAUUGUUCAUUGUUCUCUAUGUGUUACUUUGCCAGCAUAUCCUAUGUGCUGACCCGUUUUCGGGCUGCAACGUUUCAUGUUGCAGAAUUUUCAGACGACGAGUAAGGUGCCUUAGGUCGUGGUCUUAUACUCAGUGAUGCCGCUGGAGUUGAUGGACUCACUUAUCUUCCAAGUCUUCCGCUGUUAUCGUUUUAGAUGGCCUUAAGCCAUGUUUAUCAUACUUAAUCUCUUCAGAGAUAUUCGAUGUAAUAAGUGUGUGAUUGCUACUCUGUUAUAAAUCCUCCAUUUGUACUGUGCGUGUCAGCAUUACUGAUCCAGGGAUGACACUGGUGCACAGCAGCACAGACCAUUUGAGGUUUGGUCGCUACAAAGUUGGUAUCAGAGCACACGCUGACUGUAGGACACGACCACUAAGCUUAAGCCCUAGAAAACUUCUCUCUUCUCAUUUCUGACCCCUCUCCACUUUCUACUCUUUUAGGAAUGGCGAAUGCAAGGAGCAAGUUUAUGCAACCGGAUGAAGACACGCCGUUUGGUCGACACUUGAAGGAAGUCACCAAGUACUUGAACAUAGGAAUACCAAGCAUCACCGGAACCUACAACGCCACAUUACCUGAAGAGGAGAGCUGGAAGAUUCAAGUUAUCAUUCCAGGAAGGACGUUUGUGCCAAUUACGGAACCCAUGAGAUUGGUUUUCGAAGCACCAACUUGGAGUUUAGGGAAGAGCAUGGCCGCACACAUCGCCAUGGGACGCAUUGGAGAAGUCUACCACCAGGAGCUUAAGGAUACAAUUUACCAAAUUUGUGGACGUCGAGACGCGCAAUGGGAGAUGAUCAAGACCAAGAAGGAUGGAUCAAUUGCAGCUUUCAUCCAGGAGCAGAACCAACAUAUUCGUCGCCAGGAGAACCAGAUGUGCACGGACAAGGAAGAACUGAAGAAGGCAUUAACGAAGAUCAAGGAACUCCAAGAAGAACUCAAGGCUACACGCGAAGAUUAUUUGGAGGAAAUCAACGCACUAGUAGGGAAGAUUGACGACCUGGAGAAGAAGAUUGGAGUAUUCGUGGGAAAUCCAGUGCCAAGAGCAGAAGUCGACGAAUGCACUUGUCCGGAUAACUACAUCAUCAUCAACGACACCGACUCGGAACCAAGAUAAGACGACUGGAUUGAUGAAGCUGGAGCAGACAUCAUGGAGUCUUCAACGGAUCAGAAUUUCUAGUAGACCACCAUAUCAGUAGUAGUUUUCCCCCAUUCAAUAGUAUAGUUCAAGCACUUUGUAACGCUAGUUAGAUCGAUUGUUUUGCCUUGUUUGAUUUGAUUGAGUGAUAUUGAUUGAAUUGUCUCAUAAGCAUAUGGGUAGUGUUUUCUCUCUAGACCUCAUUCUACUCUUAACUCUCAUCUUUUCUAAACCCAUCAGAUGCCUCCGAGACGCGACACCGGAUUUGUUUUCCCGCCAGAGAUCACCCAGUUGAUUCAGCAACAGAAUGCCCUGAUGCAAGUGUUAGUUCAGAACCAAGGCAACAACAACAACAACAACAACCCACUGCCACCACCACCUGUUGAUCACUUAGCCCGUUUCUUAAGGCUAAACCCGCCGGUGUUUUCCAGUAGCACCGAGCCGAUUGUAGCAGAUGAUUGGCUCCGCAAAGUUGGAAGGGAGUUGACCACUGCAGGAUGCACAGAUGCGGAAAGAGUGAAUUUUGCCGCACAUCAGCUUGAUGGACCCGCAGCAUCAUGGUGGGAGAAUUAUACAGCCACGCACCCUAUUGACACUGUCACAUGGGACCAGUUUCAGCAAGUUUUCCGUACAGCCCAUGUUUCGGCAGGAGCUAUGGCUAUGAAGAAGCGUGAGUUUUGUAACCUACGCCAAGGAGGACGCACCGUAGGCCAGUAUGUGGAGGAUUUCAGUAAGCUAGCACGUUAUGCACCAGAUGACGUUGCUACAGAUGCUGCCAAGCAGGAGAAAUUUUUGGAAGGGUUGAAUGAUGAACUGAGUAUGCAGUUGAUGGUAGCAACCUUCAACAACUACCAGGAGCUGGUAGAUAGAGCUCUCGUGAUUGAAGGGAAGCAACAGCAGAUUGAAAACCGUAAGAGGAAGUAUGGACAAGGGAAGUACAAUUCUGGAGCCCAGCAGAAGCCCCGUUUUACCCCGAAGCCGGGAGGACAGUUUCAGCAUACCCAUGGAGGAGGUAGUUCGCACAACCAUAAUGGCUCCAAGAAUGGUAAUGGGAAUGGAGGAGGAAACGGACAGAACCGCACCAACCCAUCAACCCCAACCAAGAGAGAUCUAAGUCACAUUACUUGUUUCAAGUGCCAGAAGACGGGACAUUAUGCUACUGAUUGUCCCGAAGCCCAAAAUGGAAAUGGCAAUGGAAGCUCUGGGAAGAAGCCGAACCCGUUCAACAAAGGACAUGUGAACCACGUGAGCGUGGAGGAGGUUGAAGCUUAGCCUGAUGCAGUAAUAGGUAAGUUUUUGGUAAGUCAUUUACUACAACCGUUCUUUUCGAUACUGGUGCAUCGCAUUCAUACAUAUCAAGGGGAUUCGUAAAUAAGUUUAAGAUGUCCACUCAAGUUCUCAAAACCCCUAUGUUAGUAACCUCGCCAGGAGCAGAGUAUAUGGCCACCCAAGGAUGUUUUCAGAUACCGUUGGCCAUUGGUAGGCAUGUUUUCCCCUCAGACCUCAUUGUUUUGGAAUCGCAAGGUUUGGAUGUGAUUUUGGGAAUGGAUUGGCUAUCGUUGUAUGGAGGAAACAUCGAUUGUGCCAGCAAGACGAUUUUGCUUACCACCCCGGAAGGAAAAAGGAUCAAGUAUGUAUCUCGGCAUAUGCCGAAGAGGACUCAAGUAAAUUCCUUAUCAGGAGUUGUACAGGAGGAAGUACCAGUGGUGAAGGAUUAUCCGGAUGUAUUUCCAGAAGAGUUGCCAGGCAUGCCACCAGAUAGAGACAUUGAGUUUUUGAUUGAACUUUUGCCAGGCACAGGGCCAAUAUCUAAGAGACCGUACAGGAUGCCCGCAAAGGAUUUGGAGGAAAUUAAGAAGCAGAUCAAGGAGUUACUGGAUAAAGGCUAUAUUCGCCAAAGUUCGUCACCUUGGGGAUCACCAGUACUUCUAGUGGAGAAGAAAGAUGGAUCACUAAGGAUGGUUGUUGAUUACCGAGGGUUGAAUGAAGUGACCAUCAAAAACAAGUACCCACUGCCGAUGAUCAAUGAUUUGUUUGACCGCUUACAAGGAGCUAAAGUAUUUUCCAAGAUCGAUCUACGAUCAGGAUACCACCAGUUAAAGAUUCGAGAGCAAGAUAUACCUAAGACGGCAUUUACCAUCAGAUAUGGAUUGUAUGAGUAUACCGUUAUGUCAUUUGGACUGACUAACGCACCUGCCUAUUUCAUGAACCUGAUGAACAAAGUGUUUAUGGAGUUUUUGGUUAAGUUCGUAGUGGUGUUCAUUGAUGAUAUUUUAAUCUUUUCCAAGGAUGAGGAAGAGCAUGAGGAGCAUUUACGAUUGGUACUUGGGAAGCUCAGAGAACAUCAGUUAUACGCCAAGUUCAGCAAAUGUGAGUUUUGGUUGAAGGAAGUUGGAUUCCUUGGACAUGUUAUUUCUGCAGAAGGAAUAGCAGUAGACCCUGCCAAGGUUGACACAGUGACAAGUUGGGAAUCACCCACGACAGUUGGGGAAAUCCGGAGUUUUCUUGGACUUGCAGGAUACUACCGGAGAUUUAUCGAGAAUUUCUCAAAGAUUGCUAAGCCCAUGACUGAGCUAUUAAAGAAGGACACCAAAUUCAACUGGACUGAGGAAUGUGAAGCUAGUUUCCAAGAGUUGAAGAAACGAUUGGUUACAUCACCAGUGUUGAUUCUGCCAGAUCAACGCAAGGACUAUGAAGUCUAUUGCGACGCUUCUCGUCAAGGACUUGGAGCAGUGCUUAUGCAGGAAGGAAGAGUUGUGUCGUAUGCUUCACGACAACUUAAACCCCAUGAGAAGAAUUAUGCUACGCAUGACUUGGAAUUAGCAGCUGUGGUGCAUGCAUUGAAGACAUGGAGACAUUUUCUCAUCGGAAACCAUUGUGAAGUGUACACGGAUCACAAGAGUUUGAAGUACAUUUUCACGCAGAAGGAGUUAAAUCUCAGACAGAGGAGAUGGUUGGAGCUCAUUAAAGAUUAUGAUAUGAGAUUGCAUUAUCACCCUGGGAAGGCUAACGUAGUAGCAGACGCGUUGAGCCGCAAGAGUCAUGUCAACACCCUCAUGACAGGAGAUUUACCUCAGGAGUUAGCCGAGGACCUUCGCGAGCUAUGUUUGGAGAUAGUCCCAAGAGGCUAUUUAGCGACAUUGGAGAUUCAGUCUACCUUGAUGGAAAAGAUCAGAGAAGCUCAGAAGACAGACAAGGAGAUUGAAGAGAUAAAAGAGAAGAUGAGCAAAGGAAAAGCCAAGGGAUUUCGUGAGGAUGAGCACGAUACCUUAUGGUUCGAGGACCGUGUAUAUGUGCCAAAUGAUCCGGAGAUCAGGAAGUUGAUUUUGCAAGAAGCCCAUGAUUCACCAUACUCGAUUCACCUAGGAAAUACCAAGAUGUAUUUGGAUUUGAAAAAUACUUUCUGGUGGACCGGAAUGAAGAAGGAUAUUGCGGAGUAUGUAGCAGUUUUGAUGUAUGUCAGAGAGUGAAGGCAGAGCAUCAGAAGCCAGCAGGAUUGCUACAGCCAUUGCCGAUACCCGAAUGGAAGUGGGACACAAUAGGCAUGGAUUUUAUCACGGGAUUACCCAGGACUCGUUCAGGCUAUGACUCAAUAUGGGUUGUAAUCGACCGUUUGAGGAAAGUUUCUCAUUUUGAUUCCAGUGAAGACCACUUACACCAGUGCUAAGUUGGCAAAGAUAUACAUGACCAGGAUCGUAUGUUUGCAUGGAGUCCCGAGGACCAUUGUAUCAGACAGAGGAACCCAAUUUACCUUGAAGUUUUGGAAGCAGUUACAUGAAACGUUGGGAACCAGGCUGGAAUUCAGUACAGCUUUUCACCCGCAGACAGAUGGACAGACCGAGAGAGUCAACCAGAUUUUGGGGGACAUGUUGAGAGCAUGUGCACUAGAUUAUGGAUCUAGUUGGGACGACAAUUUGCCAUAUGCGGAGUUCUCGUAUAACAACAAUUAUCAAACCAGUUUGAAGAUGGCCCCUUUCGAAGCUUUGUACGGAAGGAGGUGUAGAACACCGUUGUUAUGGGACGAAGUUGGAGAUCGUCAGUUGUUUGGACCAGAUUUGAUUAAGGAGUCUGAACAGAAAGUAAGGUUGAUUCGCGAUAGGCUCAAGGUAGCCCAGUCCAGGCAGAAGAGUUAUGCCGAUUCUAAACGAAAGGAGACAGUUCACGAAGUCGGAGACAGAGUGUAUCUUCGAGUAUCACCCCUUCGAGGAGUGAAGCGCUUCGGAGUUAAGGGAAAGUUAGCGCCCCGUUUUAUCGGACCAUACAGAGUGUUGGAACGUAUGGGAGAAGUUGCCUACAAGUUGGAAUUGCCCGAAGGAUUGUCUGGAGUACAUAAUGUAUUUCACGUUUCGCAAUUGAAGAAGUGCCACGCAGAGAUGGCUGAGAUACCACUGAGAGAUACUGUGCCACUGGAAGCGAUUCAGUUGGAAAAUGAUUUGACGUAUGAGGAGAAACCAGUUAAGAUUCUCGAGUAUGCCAGCCGAGUUACCCGCAGCAAGGUUAUCAAGUUUUGCAAAGUUCAGUGGAGUCACCACACAGAAGAUGAAGCCACCUGGGAGCGAGAGGAAGAUCUACGGAAAGACCACUCCCACCUGUUUUCUAGCCAACCCGAAUCUCGAGGGCGAGAUUCAUCUUAAGGGGGGUAGGUUUGUAACAUCCCAAAUUUUCAAUUUGGAAUGUUAUACAUAGACCAUCAUUGCAUAUCAUGUUUUAUUGCAUUUUGACAAAUCCUCGAUAAAUCCUAAGCAACUCAAGGACCCUCGGAGAGAGUUGGGGAUUUUCUCGAAUUUUCAUAUUUGAUUUUCGUCAAAUAAUAAGACGAGGAUUUUUGGUUUUAAUUAUUUUAUCUCCGGAAAAAUAUUUCAUUUAAAUAAACGAGAGGAGAAAACAUGACUUCUCCAAAACAAUUGAAAUACUGGAGGAAAAAUGUUAAAAUCAUUAUUUGGAAUUUAUUUGGAAUUUAUUUGCAAUUUUUAUUGCAUUAAAAAUAUUGCAUGUUUUCAAAAUAUUUAUUUUGAUUUAAAACAAUGUUCACCCUAUUCUAGAUUUUCUAACUAGACGGGGAAAAUUUAUUUUAUAUUUUUCUGAUUUUUAUUUAUUUUUCUACGUAUUAUUCUCCGCGGAACUUAUUUAAAAAAAACUGCGCCCGCGCGCCGACUGGGCCAAAGGCCCAGCCAACGGCCCAGCCCUGCCGCCCCGUCGUCUCCGUCCCGGAGACGGGAUCGCCGCCCGAGUCCCGGCCGGACACGCCGCCCCGGCCGCCCCCUUCCCCAAGCUUCAGACCCCCCCNNNNNNNNNNNNNNNNNNNNNNNNNNNNNNNNNNNNNNNNNNNNNNNNNNNNNNNNNNNNNNNNNNNNNNNNNNNNNNNNNNNNNNNNNNNNNNNNNNNNNNNNNNNNNNNNNNNNNNNNNNNNNNNNNNNNNNNNNNNNNNNNNNNNNNNNCUCAAAUCUCUGAUCAAAUCUUUGAUUCUGUUUAACUUUUCGCUCAUUUAUCGGAAUCAGGCGAUUCAAGCGCCUAGAGUUUCGUCUCGAAAUUCUCUUUCCAUUUAACCUACUCAAACAAGUUUUUGCUACAGUAAAAUUUGACCUAGAUCCAGAUUAGCAAACGAAGUUUCUCUCGUUCGCCGUUUGACUUUCGUUGCUUUUUUCGAGUUGAUUCUUUUUGCAAACCGGAGUUCUUAAGUUGAACUUUCUGGUUGGAUCUUUCUUUCGAGUUUUACCUGUGCAUUAGAUGAGUACUGAUUGUAUGCUUGUUUGUUUGCGGUAGAGUACCCGGAGUGUGCCGCUUGUUACUUCGACUCGUUAGCUUUUGCGGAUCAUCAGCAAGGCAAGUAACACUUUGAUCAUACCCCGUUCAUACCCAGUUUUAUUGCAUUAGAUCUGUUUUCCUCAAACACUUGCAUGAUUAGGAUCUAAUUAAACUGUGGGUAUUGGGAAGUAGUUGAGGUAGUGCCUAUUACCUGUUUUCUUAUCAAACCCUUGGGAGUUACUUCUACGUUGCUUUUUAUUAUUGCCAUGCUAUGCUCGUAGACGUGGAUUUGGGUUUGAGUGAUAUUCAUGACAGAUGUGAGAUGUUUAUUAAUGGUUCAACUUAAGGUGGCAACUAAAACUCACAUCUGGGUGGAUUGAGGCACCUGGAGAACCCAGUGUUGCCUGUAUGUAUAAGGUCCGCCACCCAGGCUCAAAGGGAUCAUAAGAUUAUUCAUGCUAGAAACUUCCGUGUGCAGCCACAAGCUAUUAUGGGCUCUAGCAUAGCUGAGUAGGUUACAGGAUCUCUUGAAGAGGUGGACUAGCAGAUGUAGGGGAAAGUAGGUGUACCGAUCCAUCCAGAGUAAAGAGUGAUUGUUUCUGAAAGACUGUGUCUCGGUCAUCCGUUUCUCAAACAUCAUGUAGUGCGAGAAUCAAGCGGAGGCGAUCGAGUCUUGUGGGGAAAAGUGCACAAACCUCUGCAGAGUGUACAAACUGAUCAUGAUUAGCCGUGUCCCCGGUUAUGGACAACUUGAGUAUCUAGUACCUGGAUUAUCAUUUGAAUCUCAUCACCAUGUUACUUAUAAUUAAUUUUGUUGGGUUAAUGAUGACACUUAAUUGGGAUUGAGUUGGAGGUACCUUCUCAAUGUUUCACAACCACCAUGAUAGUUAAAUAAAAUUUAUUCCUUUGUAGUAGGAUAAAAUUGGUUUUCGCAAAACUGUAACCAUAGAGCUUUCCACCAGCCAUAAAUGCAUAUAGUAUAGCAUUAUUAUUGUUCAUUGUUCUCUAUGUGUUACUUUGCCAGCAUAUCCUAUGUGCUGACCCGUUUUCGGGCUGCAACGUUUCAUGUUGCAGAAUUUUCAGACAACGAGUAAGGUGCCUUAGGUCGUAGUCUUAUACUCAGUGAUGCCGCUGGAGUUGAUGGACUCACUUAUCUUCCAAGUCUUCCGCUGUUAUCGUUUUAGAUGGCCUUAAGCCAUGUUUAUCAUACUUAAUCUCUUCAGAGAUAUUCGAUGUAAUAAGUGUGUGAUUGCUACUCUGUUAUAAAUCCUCCAUUUGUACUGUGCGUGUCAGCAUUACUGAUCCAGGGAUGACACUGGUGCACAGCAGCACAGACCAUUUGAGGUCUGGUCGCUACAACCGGAUAAACCAACUAGCAUCAACUACAAGGAGUAAUCAACACUACUAGCAACCCACAGGUACCAAUCUGAGGUUUUCGGACCAAGAUCGAAUACAAGAGAUGAACUAGGGUUUGAGAGGAGAUGGUGCUGGUGAAGAUUUUGAGAGAGAUUGACCCCCUCUCGAUGAGAGGAUCGUUGGUGAUGACGAUGGCUUCGAUUUCCCCCUCCUGGAGGGAUGUUUCACCGGCAGAACAGCUCCGUCGGAGCCCUAGAUUCGUUCUGCCCAGGUUCCGCUCGAGAUAGCGGUGCUACGUCUCGAAAGCUUCCUUCUGAUUUUUUUCCAGGUCAAAACACACCAUAUAGCCAAAGAUGGGCACCGGAGGCCUGCCAGGGGGCCCACAAGGUCGGGGGGCGCGCCCAGGGGGGUAGGGCGCGCCCUCCACCCUUGUGGCUAGCUGGUGGCCCCCCUCUGGUACUUUCUUUGCCCAAUAUUUUUUAUAUAUUCCAAAAACAUGCUCCGUGAAGUUUCAGGACUUUUGGAGUUGUGCAUAAUAGGUCUCUAAUAUUUGCUCCUUUUCCAGUCCAGAAUUCCAGCUACCGGCAUUCUCCCUCUUCAUGUAAACCUUAUAAAAUAAGAGAGAACAGGCAUUAUUAUUGUGAUAUAAUGUGUAGUAACAACCCAUGAUGCAUUAAAUAUCAAUAUAAAAGCAUGAUGCAUAAUGGACGUAUCAACCGAUGAUCGAAUCUCGGGAGAGUAACAUACCGAUGACAAAGGGAAUAACAUAUGUUGUCAUAAUGGUUCGACCGAUAAAGAUCUUCGUAGAAAAUGUAGGAGACAAUAUGAGCAUCCAGGUUCCGCUAUUGGUUAUUGACCGGAGAGUUGUCUCAGUCAUGUCUACAUAGUUCUCAAACCCGUAGGGUCCGCACGCUUAACGUUCGAUGAUGAUUUUGUAUUAUAUCAGUUAUGUGAUUUGGUGACCGAAUGUUGUUGGGAGUCCCGGAUGAGAUCACAGACAUGAAGAGGAGUCUCGAAAUGGUUGAGGGGUAAAUAUUGAUAUAUAGGACGAUAGUAUUCGAACACCGGAAGUGUUCUGGGAGUACCGGGUACAUAUCGGGUCACUGGAAGGGGUUCCGGGCACCCCCCGGCAAAGAUAUGGGCCUAAUGGGCCAAGAGGGGAAACACAACAACUAGUAGGGGCUGCUGCGCCCCCAAUAUGGUCCGCACCUUAGGAGGAAGGAAAGGGGAAAGAGAGAAGGAAGGGGAGAGAUUCGGCCUCCCCCUUCCUCCCCUCCUCCCUCCUCUUUCCUUCCCCCUCUAGUACUUAUGGAAGGGGGGAGGCCAAAUUGGGGGAGACGCCCAAGUAGGAUUCCUCCUACUUGGGCGCCCCUUGCUCCUCCCCUCCCUCUCCCCCCUAUAUAUAUGUGGGGGGGCACCGCUAGAAGGCACAACGUUGAUUCCUAGCCGUGUGCGGCGCCCCCCUCCACAGUUUACGCCUCCGAUCAUAUUCUCGCAGUGCUUAGGCGAAGCCCUACGCGGAUCACUUCACCAUCACCGUCACCACGCCGUCGUGUUGACAGAAAUCAUCUACUUCCUCGACACUUUGCUGGAUCAAGAGUCCGAGGGACGUCAUCGAGUUGAACGUGUGCAGAACUCGGAGGUGUCGUAUGUUCGGUGCUUGAUCGGUCGGAAUGAGAAGAAGUUCGACUACAUCAACCGCGUUGUCAAAUGCUUCCGCUUUCGGUCUAUGAGGGUACGUGGACACACUCUCCCCCUCUCGUUGAUAUGCAUCUCCUAGAUAGAUCUUGCGUGAGCGUAGGAAAUUUUUGAAAUUGCAUGCUAUGUUUCCCAACGGUGGUAUCAGAGUCAGGUCUAUGCGUAGAUGAUAUGCACGAGUAGAACACAAAGAGUUGUGGGCGGUGAUAGUCAUACUGCUUACCACAAACGUCUUAUUUUGAUUUGGCGGUAUUGUUGGAUGAAGCGGCCCGGACCAACCUUACAUGACCAGUUCAUGAGACCGGUUCCGCCGAUAGACAUGCAACUAGUUUUGCAAAAAGGUGGCUGGCGGGUGUCUAUUUCUCCAACUUUAGUUGAAUCAAAUUUGACUAUGGUUGGUCCUUGUUGAAGGUUAAAACAGCAAACUAGAUGAAUCACCAUUGUGGUUUUGAUGCGUAGGUAAGAAUGGUUCUUACUAGAAGCCCAUAGGAGCCACGUAAAACUUGCAACAACAAAGUAGAGGACGUCUAACUUGUUUUUGCAGAGCAUGUUGUGAUGUGAUAUAUGUUGUUGUAUGAGAUGAUCAUGUUUUCUAAAAGUUAUCGGCAACUGGCAAGAGCCUUAUGGUUGUUGCUUUAUUGUACGAAAUGCAAAUGCCAUGUAAUUGCUUUACUUUAUCACUAUGCGUUAGUGAUAGUUGUAGAAGCAAUAGUUGGCAAGACAACCACGAUGCUACGAUGGAGAUCAAGGUGUCAAGCCGGUGACGAUGGAGAUCAUGACGGUGCUUUGGAGAUGGAGAUCAAAGGCACACGAUGAUGAUGGCCAUAUCAUGUCACAUAUUUUGAUUGCAUGUGAUGUUUAUCUUUUAUGCAUCUUAUUUUGCUUAGUACGACGGUAGCAUUAUAAGAUGAUCACUUACUAAAAUUUCAAGGUAUAAGCGUUCUCUCUGAGUAUGCACCGUUGCGACAGUUCGUCGUGCUGAGACACCACGUGAUGAUCGGGUGUGAUAAGAUCUACGUUCACAUACAACGGGUGCAAGACAGUUUUGCACAUGCGGAAUACUCGGGUUAAACUUGACGAGCCUAGCAUGUACAGACAUGGCCUUGGAAUACUGGAGACCAAAAGGUCGAACGAGAAUCAUAUAGUAGAUAUGAUCAACAUAGAGAUGUUCACCAUUGAUGACUACUCCAUCUCACGUGAUGAUCGGACAUGGUUUAGUUGAUUUGGAUCACGUAUCAUUUAGAUGACUUGAUAGAUGUCUAAGUGGGAGUUCUUAAGUAAUAUGAUCAAUUGAACUUAAUUUAUCAUGAACUUAUUCCUGAUAGUAUUUGCAAAUUAUGUUGUAGAUCAAUAGGUCGUGUUGUAGCUCCCCUAUUUUUUAAAUAUGUUCCUAGAGAAAACUAAGUUGAAAGAUGAUAGUAGCAAUGAUGCGGACUGGGUCCGUGAUCUGAGGAUUAUCCUCAUUGCUGCAUAGAAGAAUUAUGUCCUUGAUGCACCGCUAGGUGACAGACCUGUUGCAGGAGCUGAUGUGGAUGUUAUGAACGUUUGCCAAGCUCGGUAAGUUUAUUUUGCCUCGCUAAUGUAGACGUGGAUUGGGGAAUGUCCAUGGUGAGACUUGAGUGGCAAAGUAGUAAUCAGGACCAAGACUUUUAAAUGAACUACCUGCGCGGAAAUUGGUUUGAAUGGUGGUGAAGUACAGUGGUAGCAUGCAUGGGAAAUCCAUGGUGGUGCACCACUAGUGGUCCAUCUGUUCAGGCUCAAAGGGAUCAAACGUGUUUUCAUGUCUAGAAACUUACAUGUGCAACCACAAGCCACUAUGGGCUCUGGCUUAGUUGAGUAGAUAGUGUGACCUUUCCGGGAUAGGCUAGAUGAUGUAGAAUAUGUAGGUGUACCGGCUUAUCGUGGGUUAAGGGGGAAUACUUUCGAAAGACUAUGUCUCGAUCUUCCGAUCAUGGAGGUGAUCGAGUCUUGUGGGAAAAAGUGCACAACCUCUGCGAAGUGUCAGCCUAAUCGAUUAGUUGUGUCCCUGCUUACAGACAUCUUGAGCAUCUAGUAGUGGAAAUGCCGGGAGAUCUCAUCACCCUUAAUUUAAACAGUUGGGUUUUAAAUAAACUUUGGGAAUGUAGACAAAGUAAACUCAACUAAUAUGAAUAAACCCCAUAGUUUACCCUUAAUGGAAACAAUACAAAUACAUGUAUUGUCCCUUUAUGUCACUGGGAUAGAGCACCGUAUGAUUGAACCCAUCAUAAAGCACCUCUCUCACUAAAGAUAAAUCAAUCUAGUUGGACAAACCAAACGAAUAGAUUGGAGACAAACACAAAGCUAUAACAAUCAUGAAUAAUAAAGUUCAAAAAAAUCACAAUUACUUCUUAUGCAUAUUCAUAUCAUAAACCCACAAUUCAUCAUAUCCCAACAAUCACACCGCAAAAGAAGAUUACAUCGGAUAAAACUCCAAGAACGCCAAGAAGAACAUGGUACUGAAGAUGAAAGCGAGAGAAGAAGCCAUCUAGCUACUAGAUAUGGACCCAUAGGUCCGUGGUAAACUACUUGCGCAUCAUCGGAAGGCAGCAAGGAUGAUGUAGAAGCCCUCCGUGAUUGAUUCCCCCUCCGGCGGAGUACCGGAAAAGGCCUCCAUAUGGGAUAGCGGAAGAACAGAGGCUUGCAGCAGCAGAAAAAGUGUUUCGGGUGGCUCUCUGUUGGUUUGGGAAUAUUUGGGAAUUUAUAGGUCUGGAAUUAGGUCAAACGGAGUUGGUGUGCGGCCCACAAACUCAGGGGCCCCCUACGAGCUUGUGGCUCUCCCGUAUCUCGUCUGGUCUCCUCCCGAAACUUAUAGGGCCCCUUCUCGUCUAGAAAAUAUUAAUCCAAUGAUUUUUUUCGUUCAAACUUCGUUUGAUAUUGAUUUUCUGAAAAGCCAAAAACAGGAAGAAAAAAUUGGACUGGCACUGGACACUGAGUUAAGAGGUUAGUCCCAAAAAAUGAUAUAAAAUUGCAUAUAAUUGCAUAUAAAACAUCCAAGAUUAAUACUAUAAUAGCAUGGAACAAUGAAAAAAUAUAGAUACGUUUGAGACGUAUCACUUGUGUUUUGAAGAUUGUUGAUAUAAAGAGUAAAGGACUAAUGUGUUUGCUAGUGCACACAGAGUAACAGGUCCCUGAAUUCAUGAGGAGUUUGAUAUAAACUCAGGAGGAUAUGCCCUGCGUAGCAGCAAGCAUUAUUCAUGAAGUUUAUGCUGUGAAGAGUGACCCCUAAAAUUGAUGACGUAAAGCAAUUGGUUCGGUGGCAUCCGAAGGUAGUGACUGCAGCCGAAAGAAGACGAAGUCAAAGUGAAGAGUAGGACCACCGUAAUAUUAAGAAGGGUAUAGUGUUCGAAGCUUUGAUUCUCUGAUGCUAAACUCAAUCUUAUGAAAGUUGUGAGAGAAAUCUCUUUAUGUUUCGAGCAAAUACUUGCCAGCAAGAGACUGUGAUGUUCUUCAUUGCGAGAGAUUUGUUUCUGACCGAAGAGUUAGCAUUAUUUGUUCCUCAAGUAAUGUUACCGUUGCUUUCAAGUCCAACCAUUGCAAACGUGUAGGUCGGCUAUUGACUGGACCACGUGUCCAAAAUGGUCAUUUCCCCCGAGGGAAGGUUGCGGCUGUAAAUACCCACCCCGCACCGGCUUUGUUCGGUGGCUGCUCCAUUUGAUUAUGGGAAUAUUGUUGAGAAACCCCCUCUCUAGAGUGAUUUGAAGCUAAAAUCCACCAAGAGACAACCCUAGAGCCGAAGAAUUAGAUAGUGGUUUAGCAUCACUAGAAUCUAAGUCCAGUACGCUCCACCUAUUACUCUUGAGAGCUGCAAACUCUCCAGACUGUUAGGUGUCAAUUUUUUCAGAAACCAAUAGUGAUUGUGGUACUCGAAGAAGAAGUCUCUAAAGGUUCACAUAUCACCUCAAGUAUCUACCAUGAGUAAUCGGCAUUGGUUGAUGAAUCAACUGUCGAGGAGAACAGGGCGAAGAGAGUUUAUCUUAUGUGUUAAAUCAUAACCCCUCCAACCCGACGUAGUCCUUGUGCGGAAGGACGAACUAGUCUACCAAAUCAUCUGUCGCCAUCGAGCAUCACAGAUUAUUCCUUCACACCUUUUAUUCGAAUUGCUUUUCAUGACUGAAUACAACCAUGUGAUUAUCAUCGAUGACUGCAUCUAUUUUUAGUUCGUUAGUUUACUUUAACUCACUGCUUUCUAUUAUCUUUCAUUCCACUGCUGGGUUUUGAGAGUUUUGAAGUUUCCUAAAGAAAUUUCAAAAAUCCCAUUCACUCCCCCUCAGGGCAGAUCCUACACGGUCCGCCUUGUCACAAGCCCCUCAUGUUCUUGAAGAAAUGCCCAACUUCCUCAUUGAUGGCAAUUGCAGUCUGCCCCCCCCCCCCAAAGACCCGCUACAAGACAUGGUGCACCCAGGCUGCCACCAAACCCUUUCAAAUCAGCACUUCCCACAAGAAGGCCAUGUUCACUCGGUUGCAAGCCUUCUCAAAAUCUAUUUUAAGAAGAAUUGCUCUUUCUUUCGUGUGCUUUAGAUAAUGAACAAUCCCCUGGAGCACUACGGUCGCUCUAGAAUGUAUCUGUCUUUGGUAAACAAAGAAUGGCAUCUAUAAAUAACACAGUGAGUAAUCGGGGCCAUACACGAAACACAAGCUUUGGCACACAUUUUGAAAGGAAUGUUUAUUAGAGCAAUUGGCCAAAACCGUCGGAUAUUAUCUGCCCCCUUGCACUUUCGAGAUAAGCGAUAGGAUGCCAAAAAUUGAGGUGCAAGAUAUGUACGUACCUAACAUAAAUCCAAGAAAAAUAUUGAACAUAAGGCCUUCCAGCGCUGGUCAGAACCUAUGGAAUAUAGUUACUAGCCAUCUAUCAAGGCCUAUAGCUAGCCGUGUCUACUUUCAUGGAGCAGAGCGCAUCAUCAAUUUAUUUGGGCAGACAAUCCUGAUUAAAACCAAGAAGCAACCAACCAGAAUGACCCAUCGUCGCUACACAACAUCAAUUGAAGCGUUCGAGGGGAUCAAUAGAGGAAAAAUCAUGGAGUCUAUACUAAGGAUUAAUCGUCUCCUGAAGAGCAAUAAUGUCUAUCGGUUCUAUACACAUAUAUUCUUUCAAUUGCAUCUUCCUACCAACGUGGCCAAACCCACGUUGUUCCAAAAAAGGAACUGCAUUUAUAGAAUACAAUUUAUAGUCUAAACUCCCCGAGAGCCCACAACCUUUGCCACGCGCCUCACGGCGCAAGCACCGCGAGGAGGGGAAAGUGAAGCAUAUGUGGGUUAUGCAUGUGUUUCCUCUAUAACUGAAUGUCAAAAUGUGACUUGAUGGUGUUCCAAAAUGAUGUUGCAAAAGGGCACAACAAAAAACACUGUUCAAAUGUUUCUUCACGACCACAGAAACAAAACAAAGGACUAGCUAGGAUGUUGCAUCUUUGUAACUUAUGUCUUGUAGCUACACAAUCAUGAGAAAAGCGCCACAUAAUAAUUUUCAUCUUACUUGGGGCUCUAAUAGUCCAUAGUACCAAAACCUUGCUUUUUUCUAAAAAAGAGCAAAAGAGGAAGCUCUAGCAAAAUUAUACGUUGACUUGACAGAGCAAACGCCCAAUGUAUUGUGAGGCCAAGAAACAAAAGUCCUCCAACUCCAGCAGGAAAAGGAACAUGUAAUAUUUUCUCUACCACCUCCGGUGCAAAAAAGCCAUUGACUGUGUCCUCAUCCCAAUGUUUAGAAUCUGAAUUGAUGAGCGCAUCAAAAGUUUGUUGUCCGGGCAUAGGCAACAUCGGUGAUACGCAUCCCAAAAAUACAUCAGGAACCUGACUCACUUGCUCAACAUGUUUGGCCUAGUAUUUCUUCUAUUGUUCUACUGUUCACUAGAAAACGGUUCACCGAUUUUUUUUUAAAAGCACAAAUGUAGAAAAGCGUUCGUGAGUUUAAAAUAAGUUUAGAAAUUUUAAAUAUGUUCUCAAAUCCGUAAAAUAAUGCGAAUUUUAAAAAAAUUGACAUGUUUUGCGAGAAGCUAGAGAAUAUGAAAAAGCUCGUGACUUUGAAAAAAGUUCAUCGAUCUGAAAUCACAAAUUUGUAAAAAAAAUCAUGAAUUCAAAAACAGUUCAUGAGUUUGAAAAAUAUUCAUGAAUUUGAGCAAAAAGGAGAAAAAACAUGAAAAACAAAAAUGAAAAAGCCGAACAAUAUUGAGCAAAACCUGGCCCAAAAAACAGAAAUGAAUAUAUAUAUAGGAUCUAAAGCUUCCGAGUCGGAAGUUGUCGUCUCCUAUUUGGUGCGCAGGUACGCCGCCCCAUUUAGUUCUACUUGUACCUUACCAGUUUUCUCUUUUUUCUCUUUGUUUUUUGUUCUGGAGUUUUCUAUAUUUUUCAUUAUUUUUACUUCUAUUUUUCAAUUAUUUUCUCUUUUUUGUGUUUUUAUUUUUCUUUGUUUUCUUGUUUCUUUCUCUUAUUCGCAAACAUAUUUCAAAUUUGUGAAGAUUUUUUGAAAUCAUGAACAUUUUUUCAAAUUAAUGAACCUUGGUUUUAAGAUCAUGAAUAUUUUUUCAACUUCACGUACUUUUUUGCAAAUUCACGAACAUUUUUUUCUAAAAUCGUGAACAUUUUUGGGAAUUCAUUAACUUUUUUACAAAUUUGCAGUCAUUUUUUGAAAUAGUGAACAUUCUUUUAAACUCGUGAAUAAUUUUUUAAAUUUGGAAACAUAUUUUUUUUGUUCGAUGAGCAUUUUCAAAUGCAUUAACAUUUUUUGAAUUCAUGUACAAUUUCUGAAUUGAUGAAUAUAUUUUUAGUCCUUGAAUUUGGGAAGACGAUUUGAAAUUCAUCAACACUUUUUCGUUUUUGACAUCUAUGAAAACUUUCAAGUACAAUAACUAAAUUCUGUUUUUAUUCAAAUUGAUGAAGAAUUUUUAAAUAUGUGAACAUUUUUUAAAAUCAUGUACAUUUAUUGAAUAUGCGUACAUUUGUAAAAUCCACGAAUGUUUAUGGCUUCAAAAACAAUAUUUCCAAAUUAUCAUCUAAAAGCAAUUCCGAACUUCUUUGAAAUCCAAGAUUAUUUUUUGCGGUGUGCUACGCAUCGGCCGGCGGAUCUUUUAAAAAGAUCCGCCGCCUCACGGGCAGUCUGAUUGAGUGACACGAGCGGUCGGACCCUUUUCUCUAAUUUCUUGAAACAAUACUUUUGUUGCAAAAAUUCUUUUUCUCUAAUUUUCUGCAACAAGAAUUUUGUUGCGAAACCUUUUUUUUCUAAUUUCCUUCAGCAAGUCCUUUGUUGCAAAACCUAUUCUUCUCUAAUUUUCCGCAACAAAAACCUUGUUGCAAAAAUCGCAAAUACAUAUUCCGUCUACGUUUUUAAAACAAAACCCUUGUUGCAAAAAUUGCAGCAACACUCCGGCCACAUCGCGCACUAACACAAUCGUUUUGGUUGCCAUCGUUCCGCAACAAUGUUAUUGUUGCAUAAACUUGGAAUGGACGUGGACGUACAACGCGAUGAUGUGGCUGCUGCUGGCGCUUGUGGUGCUAGGUGGUGAGAUUGAUAGUGCUCCACGCCGGCUUGGCGGAUCUCGCCGGAUCCGUCGAUCUUGUUGCGGAAACUUAAACGCCGCCUUCCCUAACCUUUGUCCCCUGGCGGGCUAGAGAUGUCCGCCACCGGGCCGAGAAGGGCGAGCGCAAAUGAAUGACACGGCGGUUGUGGCUGCUGUAGGCGUGACAUGAUGACGACAAGGCUGGCAGCGCUCCGUGCCGCCUGUCGGAUCUCGCCGGAUCCGCCGAUCCGGUCGCGGGGAGGCGUUUGGCAGUGGAGAUCUGCCGUGGAGGCGCUUGAGUAACGAUGACCUGCAGGCGACGCUCCACUAACGGGUAGAGGUAGGGGCGGCUCCGGCGGCGCUGACAAGGAGAAGAGGCACACAGUGGGGCCGGGCGACCUCGCCGAUGGUCGCCGGAGAACAACCAUAGCGGGGCGCAUCUCCCUGGCUCGGCGGUGGUUGUGGAUGGUGAAGGAAAUAUGCCCUAGAGGCAAUAAUAAAGUUGUUAUUUUAUAUUUCCUUAUAUCAUGAUAAAUGUUUAUUAUUCAUGCUAGAAUUGUAUUAACCGGAAACUUGAUACAUGUGUGGAUACAUAGACAAUACACAGUGUCCCUAGUAUGCCUCUACUAGACUAGCUCGUUAAUCAAAGAUGGUUAAGUUUCCUAACCAUAGACAUGUGAUGUCAUUUGAUGAACGAGAUCAGAUCAUUAGGAGAAUGAUGUGAUGGACAAGACCCGUCCGUUAGCAUCGCAUAUUGAUUGUUCAGUUUUAUUGCUACUGCUUUCUUCAUGUCAUAUACAUAUUCCUUUGACUAUAAGAUUAUGCAACUCCCGAAUACCGGAGGAUGACGUUGUGUGCUAUCAAACGUCACAACGUAACUGGGUGAUUAUAAAGAUGCUCUACAGGUAUCUCUGAAGGUUUUUGUUGAGUUGGCAUAAAUCAAGAUUAGAAUUUGUCACUCCGAGUAUGGGAGAGGUAUCUCUGGGCCCUCUCGAUAAUCCACAUCAUGAUAAGCCUUGCAAGCAAUGUGACUAAUGAGUUAGUUGCAGGAUUAUGCAUUACGGAACGAGUAAAGUGACUUUCCGGUAACGAGAUUGAACUAGGUAUGAAGAUACCGACGAUCGAAUCUCGGGCAAGUAACAUACUGAUGACAAAGGGAAUUACGUAUGUUGUCAUUACGGUUUGACCGAUAAAGAUCUUCGUAGAAUAUGUAGGAACCAAUAUGAGCAUCCAGGUUCCUCUGUUGGUUAUUGACCGGAGAUGUGUCUCGGUCAUGUCUACAUAGUUCUCGAACUCGUAGGGUCCGCACACCUAACGUUCGAUGACGAUUUGUAUUAUGAGUUAUGUGAUUUGGUGACCGAAUGUUGUUCGGAGUCCCGUAUGAGAUCACGGACAUGACGAGGAGUCUCAAAAUGGUCGAGAGGUAAAGAUUGAUAUAUUGGAUGAUAGUAUUCGGACACCGGAAGUGUUUCAGAAUGUAUCGGGUACAUAUCAGAGUAUCGGGGGGUUACCGAAACCCCUGGGGGAAGAUAUGGGCCAUAUGGGCCAUACGAGGGAGGCAGGCCAGCCCACAAGGGGUGGCGCCCCCCCCAAGGGAGGAGUCCAAAUUGGACAAGGGGAGGGGGGGCGCCUCCCUUUCCUUCUCCUCCUCUCUCUCCUUCCCCCUUUCCCCAUCCGAUAAAAGGAAGGGGGGGCGAAUCCUACUAGGAGCCCAAAUGGGACUCCUCCCACUUGGGGCGCACCUAGGGCCGACCUCCUCCCCUCUCCCUCCUUUACAUACGGGGGUGGGGGCGCCUCUAACACACAUCAAUUGUUCCAAGCCGUGUGCGGUGCCCCCCUCCAUAGUUUACGCCUCCGGUCAUAUUCACGUAGUGCUUAGGCGAAGCCCUGCACGGAUCACUUCACCAUCGCCGUCACCACGCCGUCGUGCUGACGGAACUCUCCCUUGACACUUUGCUGGAUCAAGAGUUCGAGGGACGUGUGCAGAACUCGAAGGUGUCGUAUGUUCGGAGCUUGGUCGGCUGGAUCGAGAAGACGUUCGACUACAUCAACCGCAUUAAGCUAACGCUUCCGCUUUCGGUCUAUGAGGGUACGUGGACAUACUCUCCCCCUCUCAUUGCUAUGCAUCUCCUAGAUAGAUCUUGCGUGAGCGUAGGAUUUUUUUUUUGAAAUUGCAUGCUACGUUCCCCAACAGUGGCAUCUGAGCCAGGUCUAUGCGUAGAUGAUAUGCACGAGUAGAACACAAAGAGUAGUGGGCGAUCAUAGUCAUACUACUUACCAAAUGUCUUAUUUUGAAUCGGCGGUAUUGUUGGAUGAAGCGUCCUGGACCAACCUUACAUGACCACGUUGAUGAGACCGGUUCCACUGACAGACAUGCAACUUUUUUGCAUAAAGUUGGUUGGCGUGUGUCUAUAUCUCCAAUUUUAGUAGAAUCGAAUUCGACUACGACCGGUCCUUGUUGAAGGUUAAAACAACAAACUUGACAAAAUAUCGUUGUGGUUUUGAUGCGUAGGUAAGAACGGUUCUUACUAGAAGCCCGUAGGAGCCACGUAAAACUUGCAACAACAAAGUAGAGGACGUCUAACUUGUUUUUGCAGGGCUUGUUGUGAUGUGAUAUGGUCAAGACAUGAUGUGAUAUAUGUUAUUGUAUGACAUGCUCAUGUUUUGUAAAAGUCACUGGCAACCGGUAGGAGCCUUAUGGUUGUCUCUUUAUUGUAUGAAAUGCAAAUGCCAUGUAAUUGCUUUACUUUAUCACUAUGUGUAGCGAUAGUUGUAGAAGCAAUAGUUGGCAAGACGACCACGACGCUCAAUGGAGAUCAAGGUGUCAAGUCAGUGACAUUGGAGAUCAUGACGGUGCUUUGGAGAUGGAGAUCAAAGGCACAAGAUGAUGAUGGCCAUAUCAUGUCACAUAUUUUGAUAGCAUGUGAUGUUUAUCUUUUAUGCAUCUUAUUUUGCUUAGUACGGCGGUAGGAUUAUAAGAUGAUCCCUCACUAAAAAUUUCAAGGUAUAAGUGUUCUCCCUGAGUAUGCACCGUUGCAACAGUUCGUCGUGCCGAGACACCACGUGAUGAUCGGGUGUGAUAAGCUCUACGCUCACAUACAACGGGUGCAAGACGGUUUUGCACAUGCGGAAUACUCGGGUUAAACUUGACGAGCCUAGCAUGUACAGACAUGGCCUCGGGACACUGGAGACCGAAAGGUCAAACGUGAAUCAUAUAAUAGAUAUGAUCAACAUAGAGAUGUUCACCAUUGAAAACUACUCCAUCUCACGUGAUGAUCGGACAUGGUUUAGUUGAUAUGGAUCACGUGAUCAUUUAGAUGACUUGAGGGAUGUCUAUCUAAGUGGGAGUUCUUAAGUAAUAUGAUUAAUUGAACUUAAUUUAUCAUGAACUUAGUCCUGAUAGUUUUUGCAUAUCUAUGUUGUAGAUCAAUGGCCCGUGCUACCGUUCCCUUGAAUUUUAAUGUGUUCCUAGAGAAAGCUAAGUUGAAAGAUGUUGGUAGCAACUACACAGACUAGGUCUGUAACUUGAGGAUUAUCCUCAUUGCUGCAUCGAAGAAUUAUGUCCUUGAUGCACCGCUAGGUGACAAGCCCCCUCCCGCUAAUGUAGAUGCUUUGAACGUCUGGCAGACGUGGUCUGAUGACUACUCUAUAGUUCAGUGUGCCAUGCUUUACGGCUUAGAAUCGGGACUUCAAAGACGUUUUGAACGUCAUGGACCAUAUGAGAUGUUCCAGGAGUUGAAGUUAAUAUUUCAAGCAAAUGCCCGGGUUGAGAGAUAUGAAGUCUCCAACAAGUUCUAUAGCUGCAAGAUGGAGGAGAACAGUUCUGUCUGUGAACACAUACUCAGAAUGUCUGGGUACCAUAACCACUUGACUCAACUGGGAGUUAAUCUUCCAGAUGAUAGUGUUAUUGACAGAGUUCUUCAAUCGCUGCCACCAAGCUACAAAGGCUUCGUGAUGAACUAUAAUGUGCAAGGGAUGGAUAAGACAAUUCUGUUGGGAAUCGUAGCAUAAUUUAAAAUUUUCCUACGCUCACCAAGAUGCAUCUAUGGAGUCUACUAGCAACGAGGGGAAAGGAGUGGAUCUACAUACCCUUGUAGAUCGCGAGCGGAAGCGUUCCAAUGAACGUGGAUGACGGAGUCGUACUCGCCGUGAUCCAAAUCACCGAUGACCGAGUGCCGAACGGACGGCACCUCCGCGUUCAACACACGUACGGUGCAGCGACGUCUCCUCCUUUCUUGAUCCAGCAAGGGGGGAGGAGAGGUUGAUGGAGAUCCAACAGCACGACGGCGUGGUGGUGGAUGUAGCGGCUCUCCGGCAAGGCUUCGCCGAGCUUCUGCGCGCGAGAGAGAGGUGUUGCAGGGGAGGAGGGAGGCGCCAAAGGCUGUGUUCUACUGCCCUCCCUCCCCCCCCCCUUUAUAUAGGCCCCCAAAGGGGGGGUGCGCAGCCCUUGGAGAUGGGAUCUCCAAGGGGGGGGCGGCGGCCAAGGGGGAAGGGGUUGCCUUGCCCCCCAAGGCAAGGGGAAACUCCCCCCCCCUAGGGUUCCCAACCCUAGGCGCAUGGGGGGGAGGCCCAAAGUGGCGCCCCAGCCCAUUAGGGGCUGGUUCCCCUCCACUUUCAGCCCACGGGGCCCUCCGGGACAGGUGGCCCCACCCGGUGGACCCCCGGGACCCUUCCGGUGGUCCCGGUACAAUACCGAUAACCCCCGAAACUUUCCCGGUGGCCAAAACUGGACUUCCUAUAUAUAAUUCUUCACCUCCGGACCAUUCCGGAACCUCUCGUGACGUCCGGGAUCUCAUCCGGGACUCCGAACAACUUUCGGGUUUCCGCAUACAUAUAUCUCUACAACCCUAGCGUCACCGGACCUUAAGUGUGUAGACCCUACGGGUUCGGGAGACAUGCAGACAUGACCGAGACGCCUCUCCGGUCAAUAACCAACGGCGGGAUCUGGAUACCCAUGUUGGCUCCCACAUGUUCCACGAUGAUAUCAUCGGGUGAACCACGGUGUCGAGGAUUCAAUCAAUCCGUAUGCAAUUCCCUUUGUCAAUCGGUAUGUUACUUGCCCGAGAUUCGAUCGUCGGUAUCCCAAUACCUUGUUCAAUCUCGUUACCGGCAAGUCUCUUUACUCGUACCGCAAUGCAUGAUCCCGUGACUAACGCCUUAGUCACAUUGAGCUCAUUAUGAUGAUGCAUUACCGAGUGGGCCCAGAGAUACCUCUCCGUUUACACGGAGUGACAAAUCCCAGUCUCGAUCCGUGCCAACCCAACAGACACUUUCGGAGAUACCCGUAAUGCACCUUUAUAGUCACCCAGUUACGUUGUGACGUUUGGCACACCCAAAGCACUCCUACGGUAUCCGGGAGUUGCACGAUCUCAUGGUCUAAGGAAAAUAUACUUGACAUUGGAAAAGCUCUAGCAAACGAAACUACACGAUCUUUUAUGCUAUGCUUAAGUUGGGUCUUGUCCAUCACAUCAUUCUCCUAAUGAUGUGAUCCCGUUAUCAAUGACAUCCUAUGUCCAUAGUCAGGAAACCAUGACUAUCUGUUGAUCAACGAGCUAGUCAACUAGAGGCUUACUAGGGACAGGUUGUGGUCUAUGUAUUCACACAUGUAUUACGAUUUCCGGACAAUACAAUUAUAGCAUGAAUAAAAGACUAUUAUCAUGAACACAGAAAUAUAAUAAUAACCAUUUAUUAUUGCCUCUAGGGCAUAUUUCCAACAGUCUCCCACUUGCACUAGAGUCAAUAAUCUAGUUACAUUGUGAUGAAUCGAACACCCAUUGCGUCCUGGUGUUGAUCAUGUUUUGCCCUAGGGAGAGGUUUAGUCAACGGAUCUGCUACAUUCAGGUCCGUGUGCACUUUACAAAUAUCUAUGUCUCCAUUUUGAACACUUUCACGAAUGGAGUUGAAGUGACGCUUGAUAUGUCUGGUCUUCCUGUGAAACCUGGGCUCCUUCGCAAGGGCAAUAGCUCCAGUGUUGUCACAAAAGAGAGUCAUUGGGCCCGACGCAUUGGGAAUCACCCCUAGGUCGGUAAUGAACUCCUUCAUCCAGACUGCUUCCUGUGCUGCCUCCGAGGCUGCCAUGUACUCCGCUUCACAUGUAGAUCCCGCCACGACGCUUUGCUUGCAACUGCACCAGCUUACUGCUCCUCUAUUCAAUAUAUACACGUAUCCGGUCUGUGACUUCGAGUCAUCCAGAUCUGUGUCGAAGCUAGCGUCGACGUAACCCUUUACGACGAGCUCUUCGUCACCUCCAUAAACGAGAAACAUAUCCUUAGUCCUUUUCAGGUACUUCAGGAUAUUCUUGACCGCUGUCCAGUGUUCCUUGCCGGGAUUACUUUGGUACCUUCCUACCAAACUUAUGGCAAGGUUUACAUCAGGUCUGGUACACAGCAUGGCAUACAUAAUAGACCCUAUGGCCGAGGCAUAGGGGAUGACACUCAUCUCUUCUAUAUCUUCUGCCGUGGUCGGGCAUUGAGCCGUGCUCAAUUGCACACCUUGCAAUACAGGCAAGAACCCCUUCUUGGACUGAUCCAUACUGAACUUCUUCAAUAUCUUGUCAAGGUAUGUACUCUGUGAAAGACCAAUGAGGCGUCUUGAUCUAUCUCUAUAGAUCUUGAUGCCUAAUAUAUAAGCAGCUUCUCCAAGGUCCUUCAUUGAAAAACACUUAUUCAAAUAGGCCUUUAUACUUUCCAAGAAUUCUAUAUCAUUUCCCAUCAAUAAUAUGUCAUCCACAUAUAAUAUGAGAAAUGCUACAGAGCUCCCACUCACUUUCUUGUAAACACAGGCUUCUCCAUAAGUCUGUGUAAACCCAAACGCUUUGAUCAUCUCAUCAAAGCGAAUGUUCCAACUCCGAGAUGCUUGCACCAGCCCAUAGAUUGAGCGCUGGAGCUUGCAUACUUUGUUAGCAUUCUUAGGAUCGACAAAACCUUCCGGCUGCAUCAUAUAGAACUCUUCCUUAAGGAAGCCGUUAAGGAAUGCCGUUUUGACGUCCAUCUGCCAUAUCUCAUAAUCAUAGUAUGCGGCAAUUGCUAACAUGAUUCGGACGGACUUCAGCUUCGCUACGGGUGAGAAAGUCUCAUCGUAGUCAACCCCUUGAACUUGUCGAUAACCCUUAGCGACAAGUCGAGCUUUGUAGAUGGUCACAUUACCAUCUGCGUCCGUCUUCUUCUUAAAGAUCCAUUUGUUUUCUAUGGCUCGCCGCUCAUCGGGCAAGUCAGUCAAAGUCCAUACUUUGUUUUCAUACAUGGAUUCUAUCUCGGAUUUCAUGGCUUCUAGCCAUUUGUCGGAAUCCGGGCCCGCCAUCGCUUCUUCAUAGUUCGAAGGUUCACCGUUGUCUAACAACAUGAUUUCCAGGACAGGGUUGCCGUACCACUCUGGUGCGGAACGUGUCCUUGUGGACCUACGAAGUUCAGUGGCAACUUGAUCCGAAGCUUCAUGAUCAUCAUCAUUAACUUCCUCCCCCGUCGGUGUAGGCACCACAGGAAUAUUUUCCCGCGCUGCGCUAUUUUCCGACUCGGAAGGGGUGACUAUCACCUCAUCAAGUUCCACUUUCCUCCCACUCAAUUCUUUCGAGAGAAACUCCUUCUCUAGAAAGGACCCGUUCUUGGCAACGAAGAUCUUGCCUUCGGAUCUGAGGUAGAAGGUGUACCCAAUAGUUUCCUUAGGGUAUCCUAUGAAGACGCAUUUUUCCGAUUUGGGUUCGAGCUUUUCAGGUUGAAGUUUCUUGACAUAAGCAUCGCAUCCCCAAACUUUUAGAAACGACAGCUUAGGUUUCUUCCCAAACCAUAAUUCAUACGGUGUCGUCUCAACGGAUUUAGACGGUGCCCUAUUUAAAGUGAAUGCGGCAGUCUCUAAAGCAUAACCCCAAAAUGAGAGCGGUAAAUCGGUAAGAGACAUCAUAGAUCGCACCAUAUCCAAUAGAGUGCGAUUACGACGUUCGGACACACCAUUUCUCUGAGGUGUUCCAGGCGGCGUGAGUUGUGAAACUAUUCCACAUUUCGGUCCUCUGUGUUCCGAGGCCAUGUCUGUACAUGCUAGGCUCGUCAAGUCAACCUAAGUGUAUUGCGUGUGUUUCGAGGCCAUGUCUGUACAUGCUAGGCUCGUCAACACCCGUUGUAUUCGAACGUAAGAAUCUAUCACACCCGAUCAUCACGUGGUGCUUCGAAACGACGAACCUUCGCAACGGUGCACAGUUAGGGUGAACACUUUCUUGAAAUUAUUAUAAGGGAUCAUCCUAUUUGCUACCGUCGUUCUAAGCAAAUAAGAUGCAAAAACAUGAUAAACAUCACAUGCAAUCAAAUAGUGACAUGAUAUGGCCAAUAUCAUCAUGCUCCUUUGAUCUCCAUCUUCGGGGCACCAUGAUCAUCUUCGUCACCGGCAUGACACCAUGAUCUCCAUCAUCAUGAUCUCCAUCAUUGUGUCUUCAUGAAGUUGUCACGCCAACGAUUACUUCUACUUCUAUGGCUAACCGUUUAGCAACAAAGUAAGGUAAAUUACAUGGCGUUAUUCAAUGACACGCAGGUCAUGCAAAAUAAUAAAGACAACUCCUAUGGCUCCUGCCGGUUGUCAUACUCAUCGACAUGCAAGUCGUGAUUCCUAUUACAAGAAUAUGAUCAAUCUCAUACAUCACAUAUAUCAUUCAUCACAUCUUCUGGCCAUAUCAUAUCACAUAUAUCACUUGCUGCAAAAACAAGUUAGACGUCCUCUAAUUGUUGUUGCAAGUUUUUACGUGGUUUGUAGGUUUCUAGCAAGAACGAUUUCUUACCUACGUAUGACCACAACGUGAUUUGCCAAUUUCUAUUUACCCUUCAUAAGGACCCUUUUCAUCGAAUCCGUUCCGACUAAAGUAGGAGAGACAGACACCCGCUAGCCACCUUAUGCAACUAGUGCAUGUCAGUCGGUGGAACCUGUCUCACGUAAGCGUACGUGUAAGGUCGGUCCGGGCCGCUUCAUCCUACAAUGCCGCCGAAACAUGAAACGACUAGUAGCGGCAAGAAGAAUUGGCAACAUCAACGCCCACAACUUCUUUGUGUUCUACUCGUGCAUAGUAACUACGCAUAGGCCUGGCUCAUGAUGCCACUGUUGGGAAUCGUAGCAUAAUUUAAAAUUUUCCUACGCUCACCAAGAUGCAUCUAUGGAGUCUACUAGCAACGAGGGGAAAGGAGUGGAUCUACAUACCCUUGUAGAUCGCGAGCGGAAGCGUUCCAAUGAACGUGGAUGACGGAGUCGUACUCGCCGUGAUCCAAAUCACCGAUGACCGAGUGCCGAACGGACGGCACCUCCGCGUUCAACACACGUACGGUGCAGCGACGUCUCCUCCUUUCUUGAUCCAGCAAGGGGGGAGGAGAGGUUGAUGGAGAUCCAACAGCACGACGGCGUGGUGGUGGAUGUAGCGGCUCUCCGGCAAGGCUUCGCCGAGCUUCUGCGCGCGAGAGAGAGGUGUUGCAGGGGAGGAGGGAGGCGCCAAAGGCUGUGUUCUACUGCCCUCCCUCCCCCCCUUUAUAUAGGCCCCCAAAGGGGGGGUGCGCAGCCCUUGGAGAUGGGAUCUCCAAGGGGGGGGCGGCGGCCAAGGGGGAAGGGGUUGCCUUGCCCCCCAAGGCAAGGGGAAACUCCCCCCCCUAGGGUUCCCAACCCUAGGCGCAUGGGGGGGAGGCCCAAAGUGGCGCCCCAGCCCAUUAGGGGCUGGUUCCCCUCCAGUUUCAGCCCACGGGGCCCUCCGGGACAGGUGGCCCCACCCGGUGGACCCCCGGGACCCUUCCGGUGGUCCCGGUACAAUACCGAUAACCCCCGAAACUUUCCCGGUGGCCAAAACUGGACUUCCUAUAUAUAAUUCUUCACCUCCGGACCAUUCCGGAACCUCUCGUGACGUCCGGGAUCUCAUCCGGGACUCCGAACAACUUUCGGGUUUCCGCAUACAUAUAUCUCUACAACCCUAGCGUCACCGGACCUUAAGUGUGUAGACCCUACGGGUUCGGGAGACAUGCAGACAUGACCGAGACGCCUCUCCGGUCAAUAACCAACAGCGGGAUCUGGAUACCCAUGUUGGCUCCCACAUGUUCCACGAUGAUAUCAUCGGGUGAACCACGGUGUCGAGGAUUCAAUCAAUCCGUAUGCAAUUCCCUUUGUCAAUCGGUAUGUUACUUGCCCGAGAUUCGAUCGUCGGUAUCCCAAUACCUAGUUCAAUCUCGUUACCGGCAAGUCUCUUUACUCGUACCGCAAUGCAUGAUCCCGUGACUAACGCCUUAGUAACAUUGAGCUCAUUAUGAUGAUGCAUUACCGAGUGGGCCCAGAGAUACCUCUCCGUCACACGGAGUGAUAAAUCCCAGUCUCGAUCCGUGCCAACCCAACAGACACUUUCGGAGAUACCCGUAAUGCACCUUUAUAGUCACCCAGUUACGUUGUGACGUUUGGCACACCCAAAGCACUCCUACGGUAUCCGGGAGUUGCACGAUCUCAUGGUCUAAGGAAAAGAUACUUGACAUUGGAAAAGCUCUAGCAAACGAAACUACACGAUCUUUUAUGCUAUGCUUAAGUUGGGUCUUGUCCAUCACAUCAUUCUCCUAAUGAUGUGAUCCCGUUAUCAAUGACAUCCUAUGUCCAUAGUCAGGAAACCAUGACUAUCUGUUGAUCAACGAGCUAGUCAACUAGAGGCUUACUAGGGACAGGUUGUGGUCUAUGUAUUCACACAUGUAUUACGAUUUCCGGACAAUACAAUUAUAGCAUGAAUAAAAGACUAUUAUCAUGAACACAGAAAUAUAAUAAUAACCAUUUAUUAUUGCCUCUAGGGCAUAUUUCCAACAAAUUCUUGAGCUCUUCGCUAUGCUCAAAGCUGCGGAGGUAGAAAUCAAGCAAGAGCACCCAAGUGUUGAUGGUUAACAAGACCACUAGUUUCAAGAAAAAGGGCAAGGGAAAGAAGGGGAACUUCAAGAAGAAUGGCAAGCAAGUUGUCACUCCCGGGAAGAAGCCCAAGUCUGGACCCAAGCCUAAAACUAAGUGCUUCUACUGCAAAGGGACUGGUCACUGGAAGCGGAACUGCCCCAAGUGUUUGGCGGAUAAGAAGGAUGGCAAAGUGAACAAAGGUAUAUUUGAUAUACAUGUUAUUGAUGUGUACCUUACUAAUGCUCGUAGUAGCGCCUGGGUAUUUGAUACUGGUUAUGUUGCUCAUAUUUGCAACUCGAAACAGGGGCUACGGAUUAAACGAAGAUUGGCUAAGGACGAGGUGACGAUGCGCGUCGGUAAUGGUUCCAAGGUCGAUGUGAUCGCCGUCGGAACGCUACCUCUACAUCUACCUUCGGGAUUAGUUUUAGACCUGAAUAAUUGUUAUUUGGUGCCAGCGUUGAGCAUGAACAUUAUAUCUGGAUCUUGUUUGAUGCAAGAUGAUUAUUCAUUUAAAUCAGAGAAUAAUGGUUGUUCUAUUUAUAUGAGUAAUAUCUUUUAUGGUCAUGCACCCUUUAAGAGUGGUCUAUUUUAUUGAAUCUCGAUCGUGGUGAUACAAAUAUUCAUAAUAUUGAUGCCAAAAGAUGCAAAGUUGAUAAUGAUAGUGCAACAUAUUUGUGGCACUGCCGUUUAGGUCAUAUUGGUGUAAAGCGCAUGAAGAAACUCCAUGCGGAUGGACUUUUGGAAUCACUUGUUUAUGAAACAUUUGAUGCUUGCGAACCAUGCCUCAUGGGCAAGAUGGCUAAGACUCUGUUCUCCGGAACAAUGGAGCGAGCCACUGACUUAUUGGAAAUAAUACAUACCGAUGUAUGCGGUCCGAUGAGUGUUGAGGCUCGCGGCGGGUAUCGUUAUUUUCCAACCUUCACAUAUAAUUUGAGCAGAUAUGGGUAUAUCUAUUUAAUGAAACACAAGCCUGGAACAUUUGAAAAGUUCAAAGAAUUUCAGAGUGAAGUGGAAAAUCAUCGUAACGAGAAAAUAAAGUUUCUACAAUCUGAUUGCGGAGGCGAAUAUUUGAGUUACGAGUUUGUCCUUCAUUUAUAACAAUGUGGAAUAGUUUCACAACUCACGCCACCUGGAACACCACAGCGUAAUAGUGUGUCCGAACGUCGUAACCGUACUUUAUUAGAUAUGGUGCGAUCUAUGAUGUCUAUUACCGAUUUACCACUAUCGUUUUGGGGUUAUGCAUUAGAGACAACUGCAUUCACGUUAAAUAGGGCACCAUCUAAACCGUUGAGAUGACACCGUAUGAUUGUGGUUUGGCAAUAAACCUAAGCUGUCGUUUCUUAAAGUUUGGGGUUGCGAUGCUUAUGUGAAAAAGCUUCAGUCUGAUAAGCUCGAACCCAAAUCGGAGAAGUGCGCCUUCAUAGGAUACCCAAAAGAAACUGUUGGGUACACCUUCUAUCACAGAUCCGAAGGCAAGAUAUUUGUUGCUAAGAAUGGGUCAUUUCUAGAGAAGGAGUUUCUCUUGAAAGAAGUGAGUGGGAGAAAAGUAGAACUUGAUGAGGUAAUUGUACCUUCUCUCGAAUUGGAAAGUAGCUCAUCACAGAAAACCGUACCCAUGAUGCCUACACGAAUUAGUGAGGAAGCUAAUGAUGAUGAUCAUGAAACUUCAGAUCAAGUUACUACCGAACCUCGUAGGUCAACCAGAGUGCGUUCCGCACCAGAGUGGUACGGUAAUCCUGUUCUGGAAGUCAUGUUACUAGACCACGACGAACCUAUGAACUAUGAGGAAGCGAUGAUGAGCCCAGAUUCCGCGAAAUGGCUUGAGGACAUGAAAUCUAAGAUGGGAUCCCUGUAUGAGAACAAAGUAUGGACUUUGGUUGACUUUCCCGAUGAUCGGCAAGCCAUAGAGAAUAAAUGGAUCUUCAAGAAGAAGACUGACGCUGAUGGUAAUGUUACCAUCUACAAAGCUCGACUUGUUGUGAAAGGUUUUCGACAAGUUCAAGGAGUUGACUACGAUGAGACCUUCUCACCCGUAGCGAUGCUUAAGUCUGUCCGAAUCAUGUUAGCAAUUGCCGCAUUUUAUGAUUAUGAAAUCUGGUAAAUGGACGUCAAAACUGCAUUCCUUAAUGGUUUUCUUAAAGAAGAGUUGUAUAUGAUGCAACCAGAAGGUUUUAUUGAUCCUAAAGGUGCUAACAAAGUGUGUAAGCUCCAGCGAUCCAUUUAUGGACUAGUGCAAGCAUCUCGGAGUUGGAAUAUACGCUUUGAUGAAGUGAUCAAAGCAUAUUGUUUUAUUUAGACUAUUGGAGAAGCCUGUAUUUACAAGAAAGUGAGUGGGAGCUCUAUAGCAUUUCUAAUAUUAUAUGUGGAUGACAUAUUGAUUGGAAAUGAUAUAGAAUUUCAGCAUAAAAGGAUACUUGAAUAAGAGUUUUUCAAUGAAAGACCUCGGUGAAGCUGCUUAUAUAUUGGGCAUAAAGAUCUAUAGAGAUAGAUCAAGACGCUUAAUUGGACUUUCACAAAGCACAUACCUUGAUAAAGUUUUGAAGAAAUUCAAAAUGGAUCAGUCAAAGAAAGGGUUCUUGCCUGUGUUACAAGGUGUGAAGUUGAGUCAAACUCAAUGCCCGACCACUGCAGAAGAUAGAGAGAAAAUUAAAGUCAUUCCCUAUGCCUCAGCCAUAGGUUCUAUCAUGUAUGCAAUGUUGUGUACCAGACCUGACGUGUGCCUUGCUAUAGGUUUAUCAGGGAGGUACCAAAGUAAUCCAGGAGUGGAUCACUGGACAACGGUCAAGAACAUCCUGAAGUACCUGAAAAGUACUAAGGAUAUGUUUCUCGUUUAUGGAGGUGACAAAGAGCUCGUCGUAAAUGGUUACAUCAAUGCUAGCUUUGACACUGAUCCGGAUGACUCUAAGUCACAAACCGGAUAGGUAUUUAUAUUGGAUGGUGGAGCUGUCAGUUGGUGCAGUUCCAAGCAAAGCAUCGUGGCGGGAUCUACGUGUGAAGCGGAGUAUACAGCUGCUUCAGAAGCAGCAAAUGAAGGAGUCUGGAUGAAGGAGUUCAUAUCCGAUCUAGGUGUAAUACCUAGUGCAUCGGGUCCAAUGAAAAUCUUUUGUGACAAUACUGGAGCAAUUGCCUUGGCGAAGGAAUCCAGAUUUCACAAGAGAACCAAACACAUCAAGAGACGCUUCAACUCCAUCCGCGAUCAAGUCAAGGAGGGAUACAUAGAGAUUUGCAAAAUACAUACGGAUUUGAAUGUGGCAGACCCAUUGACUAAGCCUCUUCCACGAGCAAAACAUGAUCAGCACCAAGAUUCCAUGGGUGUUAGAAUCAUUACAAUGUAAUCUAGAUUACUGACUCUAGUGCAAGUGGGAGACUCAAGGAAAUAUGCCCUAGAGGCAAUAAUAAAGUUGUUAUUUAUAUUUCCUUAUAUCAUGAUAAAUGUGUAUUAUUCAUGCUAGAAUUGUAUUAACCGGAAACAUGAUACAUGUGUGGAUACAUAGACAAAACACAGUGUCCCUAUUAUGCCUCACUAGACUAGCUCGUUAAUCAAAGAUGGUUAAGUUUCCUAACAAUAGACAUGUGUUGUCAUUUGAUGAACGGGACCACAUCAUUAGGAGAAUGAUGUGAUGGAAAAGACCCAUCCGUUAGCUUAGCAUAAUGAUCGUUAAGUUUUAUUGUUGUUCCUUUCUUCAUGACUUAUAGAUAUUCCUUUGACUAUGAGAUUAUGCAACUCCCGAAUACCGAGGGAAUACCUUGUGUGCUAUCAAAGGUCAGAACGUAACUGGGUGAUUAUAAAGAUGCUCUACAGGUAUCUCCGAAGGUGUUUGUUGGGUUGGCAUAGAUCGAGAUUAGAAUUUGUCACUCCGAGUAUGGAAGAGGUAUCUCUGGGCCCUCUCGGUAAUGUACAUCAUGAUAAGCCUUGCAAGCAAUGUGACUAAUGAGUUAGUUGCGGGAUGAUGUAUUAUGGAACGAGUAAAGAGACUUGCCAGUAACGAGAUUGAACUAGGUAUGAAGAUGCCACGAUCGAAUCUCGGGCAAGUAACAUACCGAUGACAAAGGGAAUUACGUAUGUUGUCAUUACGGUUUGACUGAUAAAUAUCUUCGUAGAAUAUGUAGGAACCAAUAUGAGCAUCCAGGUUCCGCUAGUGGUUAUUGACCGGAGAUGUGUCUCGGUCAUGUCUACAUAGUUCUCGAACCCAUAGGGUCCGCACGCUUAACGUUCGAUGACGAUUUGUAUUAUGAGUUAUGUGAUUUGGUGACCGAAUGUUGUUCGGAGUCCCGGAUAAGAUCUCGGACAUGACGAGAAGUCUCGAAAUGGUCGAGAGGUAAAUAUUGAUAUAUUGGAUGAUAGUAUUCAAACACCGUAAGUGUUUCGGAAUGUAUCGGGUACAUAUCGGAGUACCGAGGGUUACCGAAACCCCUCGGGGGAAGAUAUGGGCCAUAGGAGGGAGGCAGGCCAGCCCAUAAGGGGUGGCACGCGCCCCCCCCCCCCAAGGGAGGAGUCCGAAUUCGACAAGGGGAGGGGGUGGCGCCCCCCUUUCCUUCUCCUCCGCUCUCUCCUUCCCCCUUCCCCCUCCGAUAAAAGGAAGGGGGCCGAAUCCUACUAGGAGCCAAAGUGGGACUCCUCCCACUUGGGGCGCGCCUAGGGCCGACCUCCUCCCCUCUCCCUCCUUUAUAUACGGGGGUGGGGGCGCCUCUAACAACAUCAAUUGUUCCAAGCCGUGUGCGGAGCCCCCCUCCACAGUUUACGCCUCCGGUCAUAUUCACGUAGUGCUUAGGCGAAGCCCUGUGCGGAUCACUUCACCAUCACUGUCACCACGCCGUCGUGCUGAUGGAACUCUCCCUCGACACUUUGAUGGAUCAGAAGUUCGAGGGACGCCAUCGACCUGAACGUGUGCAGAGCUCAGAGGUGUCGUACGUGCGGUGCUUGAUCGGUUGGAUCGAUAAGACGUUCGACUACAUCAACUACGUUAAGCUAACGCUUCCGCUUUUGGUAUACGAGGGUACUUGGACACACUCUCCCCCUCUCGUUUCUAUGCAUCUCCAAGAUAGAUCUUGCGCGAGUGUAGGAAUUUUUUUGAAAUUGCAUGCUAUGUUCCGCCAACACCCUCCACCCUUGUGGCUGGCUGGUGGCCCCCUCUGGUACUUUCUUCGCCCAAUAUUUUUUAUAUAUUCCAAAACAUGCUCUGUGAAGUUUCAGUACUUUUGGAGUUGUGCAGAAUAGGUCUCUAAUAUUUGCUCCUUUCCCAGUCCAAAAUUCGAGCUGUCGGCAUUCUCCCUCUUCAUAUAAACCUUAUAAAAUAAGAGAGAAUAGGCAUAAGUAUUGUGAUAUAAUGUGUAAUAACAGCCCAUAACGCAUUAAACAUCAAUAUAAAAGCAUGAUGCAAAAUGGACGUAUCAACUCCCCCAAGCUUAGACCUCGCUUGUCCUCAAGCGAAAGCCGAUAUCGAAAAAUAUGUCCACAUGUUUAGAGAUAGAGGUGUCAAUAAAAUAAAAUACGGACAUGAGGGUAUCAUGAUCAUCUCUAGAACAACAACAUAUAAUGCCAUAUAAUUUCUUAUGCUAAAGUAACAAUUCGUUCACAAGGUAAAGUAUGAAUCAGAAACUUCAUUGAAAACUAACAAACUACGAUCUCAGUCAUUGAAGCAAUUGCAAUUUAUCAUAACAUCGGAAAGAGUCAAUUAAAGAGCUUUUUAGCAAGUCCACAUACUCAACCAUCAUCUAACCUUUCACAAUUGCUAACACUCACGCAAUACUUAUGGGUCCAAAGCUUCUAUCGGACACUGAGAAAGAUAGGGGCUUAUAGUUUCGCCUCCCAACCUUUUAUCUCAAGGGUAAUGUCAACAAUAAUACUUUAUGAAAACCUACAUCCGAGUGGAUAUAUAUAUAUAUAUAUAUAUAUAUAUAUAUAUAUAUAUCCGGAUCUCUCCAACAUAUAGUGCUUGCCAAACGAAAAAGUGUAAAAAGGAAAGGUGAUUGUCACCAUUACUCUUGUAUAAGGGUAGAAAAUAAAAGUAAAAGAUAGCCCUUCGCAGAGGGCAGCAGAGGUUGUCAUGCGCUUUUAUGGUUGGAUGUAUAAAAUCUUAGUGCAAUAGAACGUCACUUUAUAUUUCCGCUUGUUGAUACGUCUCCAACGUAUCUAUAAUUUUUGAUUGUUCCAUGCUAUUAUAUAUUCUAUUUUGGAUGUUUAAUGGGCUUAUUUAUAGACUUUUUUAUUAUUUUUGGGACUAACCUAUUAAUCGGAGGCCGAGCCCAAAUUGCUGUUUUUUUUGCCUAUUUCAGUGUUUCACAGAAAAAGGAUAUCAAACAGAGUCCAAAUGGAAUGAAACCUUCGGGAGCAUGAUUUUUGGAACAAACGUGAUCCAGAGGACUUGGAGUGGACAUCAAGCAACCAACGAGGAGGCCACGAGGCAGGGGCACGCCUACCCCUUGGGCGCGCCCUCCACCCUCGUGGGCCCCUCGUGGCUCCACAAACCUACUUCUUCCUCCUAUAUAUACCUACGUACCCCGAAAACAUCAGAGGAGGAGCCAAACCCUAUUUCCACCACCGCAACCUUCUGUACCCAUGAGAUCCCAUCUUGGGGCCUUUUCCGGCGCUCCGUCGGAGGGGGCAUUGAUCACGGAGGGCUUCUACAUCAACACCAUAGCCUCUCCGAUGAUGUGUGAGUAGUUUACCUCAGACCUUCGGGUCCACAGUUAUUAGCUAGAUGGCUUCUUCUCUCUCUUUGGAUCUCAAUACAAAGUUCUCCUCGAUUCUCUUGGAGAUUUAUUUGAUGUAAUCUUCUUUUGCGGUAUGUUUAUCGAGAUCCGAUGAAUUGUGGGUUUAUGAUCAAGAUUACCUAUGAACAAUAUUUGAAUCUCCUCUGAAUUCUUUUAUGUAUGAUUGGUUAUCUUUGCAAGUCUCUUCGAAUUAUCAAUUUGGUUUGGCCUACUAGAUUGAUCUUUCUUGCAAUGGGAGAAGUGCUUAGCUUUGGGUUCAAUCUUGCGGUGCUCGAUCCCAGUGGCAGUAGGGGAAACGACAUGUAUUGUAUUGUUGCCAUCGAGGAUAAAAAGAUGGGGUUUAUAUCAUAUUGCUUGAGUUUAUCCUUCUACAUCAUGUCAUCUUGCUUAAAGCGUUACUCUGUUCUUAUGAACUUAAUACUCUAGAUGCAUGCUGGAUAGCGGUCGAUGUGUGGAGUAAUAGUAGUAGAUGCAGGCAGGAGUCGGUCUACUUGUCACGGACGUGAUGCCUAUAUACAUGAUCAUGCCUAGAUAUUCUCAUAACUAUGCUCAAUUCUAUCAAUUGCUCGACAGUAAUUUGUUCACCCACCGUAAUACUUAUGCUCUUGAGAGAAGCCACUAGUGAAACCUAUGGCCCCCGGGUCUAUUUUCCAUCAUAUUAAUCUUCCGUCAACAAGUUAUUUCUAUCUUUGUUUAUUGUGCAAUCUUUACUUUCAAUCUUUAUCAUAAAAAUACCAAAAAUAUUAUCUUAUCAUCUCUAUCAGAUCUCACUUUUGCAAGCGGCCGUGAAGGGAUUGACAACCCCUUUAUCGCGUUGGUUGCAAGGUUCUUAUUUGUUUGUGUAGGUGCAAGGGACUUGAGCGUGGCCUCCUACUGGAUUGAUACCUUGGUUCUCAAAAACUGAGGUGUUGGGGAACGUACUAAUUUCAAAAAAUUUGCUACGCACACGCAAGAUCAUGGUGAUGCAUAGCAACGAGAGGGGAGAGUGUUGUCCACGUACCCUCGUAGAUCGAAAGCGAAAGCUUUAGCACAACGCGGUUGAUGUAGUCGUACGUCUUCACGAUCCGACCGAUCCAAGUACCGAACGUACGGCACCUCCCAGUUCAGCACACGUUCAGCUCGAUGACGUCCCUCGAACUCCGAUCCAGCCGAGCUUUGAGGGAGAGUUCCGUCAGCACAACGGCGUGGUGACGAUGAUGAUGUUCUAUCGACGCAGGGCUUCGCCUAAGCACCGCUACGAUAUUAUCGAGGUGGAUUAUGGUGGAGGGGGGCACCGCACACGGCUAAGAGAUCAAGAGAUCAAUUGUUGUGUAUAUGGGGUGCCCCCUGCCCCCGUAUAUAAAGGAGCAAGGGGGGAGGCGGCCAGCCAAGGAGGAGGGCGCGCCAAGGGGGGAGUCCUACUCCCACCGGGAGUAGGACUCCUCCUUUCCUUGUUGGAGUAGGAGAGAAGGAAAGAGGGGGGAGGGAGAAGGAAAAGGGGGCUGCGCCCCUUGUCCAAUUCGGACCAGAGGGGGGGUGCGCGCCUCCUUCCUUUUGGCCUCUCUCCUCUAUUCCCGUAUGGCCCAAUAAGGCCCAAUACUUCUCCCCGGCGAAUUCCCGUAACUCUCCGGUACUCCGAUAAAUACCCGAAUCACUCGGAACCUUUCCGAAGUCCGAAUAUAGUCGUCCAAUAUAUCGAUCUUUACGUCUCGGCCAUUUCGAGACUCCUCGUCAUGUCCCUGAUCUCAUCCGGGACUCCGAACUCCUUCGGUACAUCAAAACACAUAAACUCAUAAUAUAACCGUCAUCUAACUUUAAGCGUGCGGACCCUACGGGUUCGAGAACUAUGUAGACAUGACCGAGACACGUCUCCGGUCAAUAACCAAUAACGGAACCUGGAUGCUCAUAUUGGCUCCCACAUAUUCUACAAAGAUCUUUAUCGGUCAAACCGCAUAACAACAUACGUUGUUCCCUUUGUCAUCGGUAUGUUACUUGCCCGAGAUUCGAUCGUCGGUAUCUCAAUACCUAGUUCAAUCUCGUUACCGGCAAGUCUCUUUACUCGUUCCGUAAUACAUCAUCCCGCAAGUAGCUCAUUAGUUGCAAUGCUUGCAAGGCUUAUAGUGAUGUGCAUUACCGAGUGGGCCCAGAGAUACCUCUCCGACAAUCGGAGUGACAAAUCCUAAUCUCGAAAUACGCCAACCCAACAAGUACCUUCGGAGACACCUGUAGAGCACCUUUAUAAUCACCCAGUUACGUUGUGACGUUUGGUAGCACACAAAGUGUUCCACCGGUAAACAGGAGUUGCAUAAUCUCAUAGUCAUACGAACAUGUAUAAGUCAUGAAGAAAGCAAUAGCAACAUACUAAACGAUCGUGUGCUAAGCUAACGGAAUGGGUCAAGUCAAUCACAUCAUUCUCCUAAUGAUGUGAUCCUGUUAAUCGAAUGACAACUCAUGUCAAUGGCUAGGAAACAUAACCAUCUUUGAUCAACGAGCUAGUCAAGUAGAGGCAUACUAGUGACACUCUGUUUGUCUAUGUAUUCACACAAGUAUUAUGUUUUCGGUUAAUACAAUUCUAGCAUGAAUAAUAAACAUUUAUCAUGAUAUAAGGAAAUAAAUAAUAACUUUAUUAUUGCCUCUAGGGCAUAUUUCCUUCAUGAGGGAAAUACUUAUGCUACUUUGCUGCAUCACCCUUUCUGCUUCAAGGGAAAACCAACGCAGUGCUCAAGAGGUAGCAAGAAGGAUUUCUGGCGCCAUUGCCGGAGAGUCUACGCACAAGUCAAGACAUACCAAGUACCCAUCACAAACUCUUAUCCCUCGCAUUACAUUAUUUGCCAUUUGCCUCUCGUUUUCCUCUCCCCCACUUCACCCUUGCCGUUUUAUUCGCCCUCUUUUUCCGUUCGCCUCUUUUUCGCUCGCUUCGUCAUUAUGGCUAGUCCUUUAUCUACUCCUUUGUCUCCCGAGAACGAAGUUCUUAAUUUUAAACAAAGGGAGGGAGAAAAUCUAAAAGAUGCUUGGUACAGAAUUUGCAAUGCGCAAAAUAGAUCUACUAGGAAGCAAUCUACUUCCGUUCUUCUUCGCAAUUUUUAUGUAGGCAUCACUCCUUAAUUUUUAUGUAGGUAUCACUCCUUGGAAUAGAUAUAUUCUUGAUACCAUUACCGGAGGGAAUUUCUUGGGUAGCCAUACUUUUGAUUCUUAUAAUGCUAUGAUAGAUUUGUUUGGCCCGCCACCUCUUUUGGUUAAUGGAACUAUUUUAACUUUGGAACAUGUGAUGCAACAACUUGAAAUUAUUGAAAAUAAAGUUGCCACCGUAGAGUUGAUAGAAAAUUUGGAUAAGAAGAUCCAUAACCAAAUUACCCAAUACGGAUCUAAGGUAGGAGUUUCUCUAAUUUUUUUAAAGAAAAGGAACCUAUGGUUAAUGAAAAGAUAGAUCAAGAUUCCACUAGAAUUGAUAAAAUUGAGGAUAUUAUUACCAACCUAGGGUUUGCCUUUUCUUCUGUGAAAAACACUCCUCCUAAUGCUAAGAUUGCCAAAUUGAUGUAUAUUCCUAAAAAUAAGGGUGAAACUUCUAGUAAGGGAAAUGCGGAUCUCAAAUCCAUAAGUGUUCACCCCAACUUUCUCGCUAUCCUUAAGGAACCUUUUGCUACAAAUGGUUUUCUAGAUUUCGUGCCUAGGAGUUUGAUAAUUAAUAAAAAUAAAGAAACUCUUAGGGGUUAUAGGUGUCUUAUUAAAGAAUUGCCUACCAAAGAUGGCAAUACCUAGAUCUAUCCUUGCUUUUAUGCCUAGCUAGGGGCGUUAAACGAUAGCUCUUGUUGGGAGGCAACCCAAUUUUAUUUUAUUUUCUUACUUUUUAUUUCUGUUUAGUAAUAAAUCUUUGAUCUAGCCUCUGGUUAGAUGUGUUUUUAUGUUUUAAUUAGUGUUUGUGCCAAGUUAAACCUAUAGGGUCUUCUUGGAUGAUAGUUAUUUGAUCUUGCUGAAAAUUCCAGAAACUUUCUGUUCACGAAAACAAUUGUUAAAAAUCACCAGAACGUGAUAAAAUACUGAUUCCAAUUGAAGUAGAUCAAUAAACAAAUUAUAUAGGUCUUCCUAUUUUGGUAUAAUUUUUGGAGUUCCAGAAGUUUGCGUUAGUUACAGAUUACUACAGACUGUUCUGUUUUUGACAGAUUCUGUUUUUGUGUGUUGUUUGCUUAUUUUGAUGAAUCUAUGGCUAGUAAAAGAGUUUAUAAACCAUAGAGAAGUUGGAAUACAUUAGGUUUAACACCAAUAUAUAUAAAGAAUGAGUUCAUUACAGUACCUUGAAGUGGUGUUUUGUUUUCUUUCGCUAACGGAGCUCACGAGAUUUUCUGUUAAGUUUUGUUUUGUGAAGUUUUCAAGUUUUGGGUAAAGAUUUGAUGGAUUAUGGAACAAGGAUUAGCAAGAGCCUAAGCUUGGGGAUGCCCAAGGCACCCCAAGGUAAAAUUCAAGGACAACCAAAAGCCUAAGCUUGGGGAUGCCCCGGAAGGCAUCCCCUCUUUCGUCUUCAUCUAUCGGUAACUUUACUUGGAGCUAUAUUUUUAUUCACCACAUGAUAUGUGUUUUGCUUGGAGUAUCUUGUAUGAUUUGAGUCUUUGCUUUUUAGUUUACCACAAUCAUACUUGCUGUACACACCUUUUGAGAGAGACACACAUGAUUCGGAAUUUGUUAGAAUACUCUAUGUGCUUCACUUAUAUCUUUUGAGCUAUAUAGUUUUUGCUCUAGUACUUCACUUAUAUCUUUUAGAGCACGGUGGUGGUUUUAUUUUAUAGAAAUUAUUGAUCUCUCAUGCUUCACUUAUAUUAUUUUGAGAGUCUUAAACAGCAUGGUAAUUUUCUUUAAUUGUGAAAUUAAUCUUCCUUAUUGAGUUCAUUGAAUAUCAUGAGAAGUUUGAUACUUGAUAAGUGUUUUGAGAUAUAAAGGUGGUAAUAUUAGAGUGUGCUAGUUGAGUAAUUGUGAAAUUGAGAAAUACUUUUGUUAAGGUUGGCAAGUCCCGUAGCAUGCACGUAUGGUAAAAGUUGUGUGACAAUUUUGACACAUAAGGUGUUCUUUUAUUGCUUUCCUUAUGAGUGGCGGUCGCGGACGAGCGAUGGUCUUUUCCUACCAAUCUAUCCCUCUACGGGCAUGCGUAGUAGUACUUUUCUUCGAGGGCUAAUAAACUUUUUCAAUAAGUAUAUGAGUUCUUUAUGACUAAUGUGAGUCCAUGGAUUAUACGCACUCUCAACCUUCCACAAUUUUCUAGCCUCUACGGUACCGUGCAUUGCCCUUUCUCACCUUGAGAGUUGGUGCAAACUUCGCCGGUGCAUCCAAACCCCGUGAUAUGAUACGCUCUAUCACACAUAAACCUCCUUAUAUCUUCCUCAAAACAGCCACCAUACCUACCUAUCAUGGCAUUUCCAUAGCCAUUCCGAGAUAUAUUCCCAUGCAACUUUCCACCGUUCCAUUUAUUAUGACACGCUCUAUCAUUGUCAUAUUGCUUUGCAUGAUCAUGUAGUUGACAUCGCAUUUGUGGAAACGCCACCAUUCAUAAUUUUUCAUACAUGUCACUCUUGAUUCAUUACAUAUCCAGGUACACCGCCGGAGGCAUUCACAUAGAGUCAUAUUUUGUUCUAAGUAUUGAGUUGUAAGUAAUAAAAGUGUGAUGAUCAUCAUUAUUAGAGCAUUGUCCCAUGUGAGGAAAGGAUGAUGGAGACUAUGAUACCCCCACAAGUCGGGAUGAGAUUCCGGACUAAAUAAAAAAAGAGAAAGAAAAAAAGAGGCCAAAUAAAAAAAGAGAAGGCCAAAAAAAUGAGAGAAAAAGAGAGAAGGGACAAUGUUACUAUCCUUUUUCCACACUUGUGCUUCAAAGUAGCACCGUGAUCUUCAUGAUAGAGAGUCUCCUAUGUUAUUGCGUAAGGGUUGAAAAGGCUGAAGCACGUUAAAAAGUAUGAACCAAUUGCUCGGCUUGUCAUCGGGGUUAUGCAUGAUGAGAACGUUUGUGUGACGAUAUUGAAACAUGGCCUAACUAUAUGAUUUUGUAGGGAUA